AAAUAACUUACUUUUGUCUAACGAGACCGCUUCUUCUCUACACAGAUGUUGAUAUCUAAAUUCCUUUUUUUUUUGGCAUUGUUCUGGUUAUGAACCCUCAUUGACCUCUGCAACCACCUUGCACUAGCAGUUCCAAAAGUGUAUGAUUUGUUAAGUUUGUAACUUUGUAGACUCCAUUGUUGCAGACAGAAAAUGCAGAAUUUUCCGAGUUUUUUCUCUUCUUCUUAUAUGCAAAAUGUUUACUAAUAGUCUCUCCACAAUAACAGUUUACAUCUCUAAAGAAAUGAAAACAGUUAGAAUUUGUUAAGAUGAUAUGCCUGAGGUAUACUCUAGAUAUAUACUUCAUUGCAUUGUGGCAAUCCCCACAGACACAGACACGGAGGUUCUUGGUGAUCCGAAUCGGAGCUCCAGAUGGUUCAGCAAGUAGACCAAACGCUACAGCUAGUUUCUCACUAUGGUAAGCUAAACCAAAAGCUCCUUUGCCUUCCUUAUCCAAGUCAUGGAGUGCAAAACUCAUAUCCGUAAAUAACCAGCUAGUUUAUCACUAUGGUAAGCUAAACCAAAAGCUCCUUAGCAUACGUAUCCACAAGAGCGUUAUUCACCAGCUUGUAAGUUCCAUAUCUAGUUUUCACUAUCAGACAAUGCACAAAAGAAGCUAUAUUCGUUUCUGUUCUAGACGAAGCGAAACAGUUUAAAAUGGAUGGGAUUGUGAAAUCAUCUAUCUUCAUGUCUCGCCUAUGCAUUCUUCCGAACAAGGAUAGAGCUUCUUCUUUAAGACCUUCUCUAACACACUCAACAACCAUCGAGUUCCAAGAAAUCCACAUCAUCAAUUUCUCUUUACUACAAAUUAUCACCAUCUAUAAUAUUGAAAAAUUAUUCUAGCUUUGAUUACGAUCGACAUAUCUGACUUGUAUGGCAUAUAUGCUGAAAUUUACAGUUUAUAGUUCAUGCCUUUUUUAUCCAUUUACGGUUAAUUCCGACAAUUUUAGAAAGAAUGCCCUUAAUGAUAUAUUAGAUUACCACAUUACUCGAUUUGUGUUUGAAUAUUUUUUUAAUUGUUGGACUUAGAUCAAAAUUAGUUAAAUAGUUACAACUUUAUUUUAAAGAUUAUGAUGUCCACUAGCUGAAAUCAGAAUUCACAUUCUAAGAAAAUUGCAAUUUAUUUUUUAUCAUGUUUUUAUUUAAUUUAUUUGAUAAUAGUUUAUUAAUAACAAAUGAAAAUUAAGUUUUACAAAUAAAUGUGCAGAGGCACACUGUGCCUGCUAAGCACUUGCCAUAUCCAUUAUACUUGAAUGUACACUGAUCAUCACAUUGUUUAGCUUGGCAAAUUUCUGUUCCUCUUAUAUAAUCACGACAAGAUUCUUGUUCUUGCGACUCCAUCACCAUCCCUAAAAAUAAAUAUUGAAAACAUCUAUUAGCAUCAUUUUUAUUUUUUAUAUGUUAAAAAGGUUAUGAAGAAAUGAAACACAAUGAAAUCAAAGAUAAAACAUAGAAAUAAUAAAUAUCUUUAAUAUAGUUAAGUGUAAAACAAACCUAAAACAAGAACAACCAUAAAAAUAGCAAGAAUUGUGGUUUUAGCCAUUUUUGAUGAUGCAACAAAAAGUGAAAACUUUAAAGUAAAAAACAGUGAUGAGAUUGUAUUGCAUCCGUGAAUAUCUUAUAUAUAACAAAUUAGAUGUGUAGAUAUUUUUCAAAAGUACCACAAAUUGAAAAAAUAAAAAUAAAUUGAGAGUCAACUUAUAAUAAAUAAGAUGAAUCAUGCAAACAAAUCGUGGAAAACAAAUAGAAAAAAUAUUUUGAAAUUAAUUAAAACCAACAGAUCUCCUAUAUAUUAAAAGAUGAUUAUUGUCAUUUAAUGUUUUCACACUACAUUAACCACGUGGUAACUUACAUCGAUUUCAAUUUCAAUUUUUAAAUAUCAUUUAAAUUAAAUUUUUUUAUUUAUGUACAUGGUGCAGGAAAAUAUCUAGUAUUAGUGAAAAAACUAGUUGAAAUUAUUAAUACAUGUUCCAGGUAUGUUUAACAAGUAUAAGUUUCAUUACAAAAUCAUUGUAAUCCAGGAGGUAGUCUUUUUUUUUGAACUAUCAAUUCAUUGAAAGAGAAAGCCUUAAGGAGGCAUAGAAGAGUUCAAACCAUACAUAGCAGAUUUAGCUAAUGAAUCAGCUAUGCAAUUGAGGCUCCUAAAAACAUAAGAGAAAUUCAGCAAUACGAAGAAGUUAGAUUCUCGAUAUCCAAGUUGAUUCUGUAAAGGUAUACUGGACUUUGAUUUGAGAUUAAUGCGUUGAUGAGCACUUGAUUAUCUGAUUUUAGGCAGAUUUUGGAGAGUUGACGUGAUUUAGCAUGCAAGAGAGUUUCCUGGACUGCUGGACAGCAAUAGCUUCCGCCAUUAGAGGUGACGGCCCAUGAGCUUCAGUCGAUGAUCCUUGUUCUUGUAUACAUGUGUAAGGAUCCAUGUAGUGCCAACCACAGCCUGCUAGCUUAUAUAUCCCCAAAUCGCCAAGCCGCAUCUGUAAACAAAGUAACUGCAUCAUUCAAGUCCUGGUAAUUGGCUCGACUGUGUCAUGUGGAGCUAGCAGUUGAGUUUUCUGUGGUUGUGCGUCCUGCCAUUCUCGAGCUUGGCCGAUGGCUUUAACGAUUAUGUCCGAUGGGGAGAGAUCCCGGUUCUCAAAAACCAACGAGUUUCUUGCUGUCCAAACGCACCAGCAUACCCAAGCAAAAUGAUUCACAGAGACACCAGUAGGGGAGAGGCAGAUGAGGUUCGAUGAACCCUUCAGGGCUUGUUCAAAAGAUGAUACCGCUAAUGGUAGUCUAAUGGUUGUGUAAAGAGUUGUUUUUUGAUAAUCUAAACUAAUAUUAGCAAGAUUAUUUUUUAAAUAAGAAAGCUCACUUUUUUUAACCAACAAAAAAUUUAGUAAGCUCACUUCGGACUUAUGAGAAAUUAUGGAUCUAAGAUCCGAAACUUCCAUAGUAAUAAAAAUCAUCGUAAUUUAGAUUUUUAUUAGUGCCAUGCAUACAGUCUGCGGCAAAAUAAUUUUCCCAAGGACAGUGCUAUUGGAUCAUCCAAACUUGUAUAACAUUGAAUCUCUAUAUUCAUAGUGACAUUGCAAUUUUAUUGCUUGUAUUGAUUAUGAUGGACACAUCUGAAUAUGGCACAUAUGCUAAAAUUUGCAGUCUAUAGUUCAUAUUAUGAUGUUAAAUAACUGAAAUUAGAACUCACAUUUGCAUAAAAUUUGCAUUAUAAUUUUUCAGUCCAUUUUAUUAAAAGAGUAGUAUAUUUUAUGAUAACAUAAAUAACAAAUAUAAACUAAGUUUUACAUUUGAAAGUGCAGCCGCAGAUUUUGGUUCCAUUAAAACACUUGCCAGAUCCUUUCCACUUGUCAGUACACCGAUCAGCACAAUGUUUAGGAUCACAAAUUCCUGAUUCAACAAAAUAUUCAUGACACAAUUCUUGUCCUUGUGACUCCAUCGUCACCGUUCCUAAAUAAGUAUUUAAAUAUAUAUAUUAGUAUCAUUUCCAUUAUUUUGUUAUAAAUCAGAAAGGUUAUAAACAAAUAAACAUUACGAAGCAAAGGAGAAAAUAUAAAAAUACUGAAGUGUAGAACAAACCUAAAACAAGAACAAUCAUGAAAAUAGCAAGAAUAGUUGGCUUAGCCAUUUCAAAUGAUACAACAAGAAUGAAAAAAAAUAAAGAACUGAUGUAGUUGCUUUGUAUUCGUAAAUAUCUUAGACAUAACAAAUAAGAUGUAUAAAUAUAUAUACAAAGUACCGCAAAUAUUACAAGUAGAAAAAGGAGAAUCAACGUUUUUGGUUUUAAUUAAUUAGAGUCAACUUGUAAUUAAUUAGAUACAUGAAACAAAAAAAAAGUCAUAACCUAGUAAGGAAAAAUAUCUUGAAUUAACUAAAAAUAAAAUAAAUAAGAACUUAAUAAAACAUACUCUUUUCGUUUUAUAUUAAGUGUUGUUUUAAUUUUGAAAUUUUAUUUCAUUAUACGUGUUGUUUUAUAUUUUCAAUAUAUAUUAAAUAAAAAUUUCAGCUUUAUCUUUAUUUUAAUCUAUUAAUUAAAAAAUCAAAUAUAUAUAUAUAUAUAUAUAUUAAAUGAGGUAAUUUUUUUAGACGACACUAAUAUUAAACAGAUGGAGUAAUUAAUUGUAUUUUAUUAAUAACAUGCAUUAAACAGAUUUUGAAAAUUCUUUGAAGUAUAAAACAGGAAAGAUAUUAAAGUUUUAAUAAUGAAAAAUUUAAAUGAUAACUGAUAUUGUUAGAAUUUUAUUUAUUAAAUGUGAAAAUAUGCAUGUUAAUAUAGUCAUUCACAACUGAUUUUAAAUUAAAAUAGAAUUUUUAAAUUAAAAAAAUAUAAUAUCAAAGUAUUGAUACUUGAUAGUGUUUUUAACCAAAAAAAGAAGAAAAGAUUGUUGAUUUAACUAGGAUGGUUUAAGAAUAAGGUGCACAGUCCGUACUUGAGGGCAUUAAUAUAGUUCUUAAAUUUAUAGUUACAUUUUUAUAAUUUAUAUUAUCUCAUGUACACAUAUCGUUUUAUAUAACUAUUAUUAAUGCUCCGUUAAUUAAUUAUACACUAGAGUCUAAACCCGCACAUCCAUGCGGAUAUAUAUAUUUUUAUAAAUAUAUAACUUUGAUAUUAUUCUAAAUAUCAUAAAAUAUAUAUGAUUUAGAUUUUAGUGUUAUAUAUUUUGUAACUCUAUAAUCUUAUUGUUUAGAUUUCUUAUUUGAAAAACAUAGAAAGAAAUCAAGAGUAAACUUAUAAUAAAGAAGAUGAUUCAUACAAACAAAUCAUGAAAAACAAAUAGGAAAAAUAUCUUGAAAUUAAUUAAAACUGAUAGAUUUUAUAGUAAGGUAAGUCAAUAUGUAUUCAUUAUCAGUUGAAUUUAAAUUCUAAUUUCCAAGUUUAAUAGUAUAAAAGAUUCGAUUGUUCGUUUAAAUAGGAUGCUCUAGAUAGAAAUAACCAAUUUGUUAAACUAUAUAAAUUAAUAGAAGUUUGACUAAAAAGAAUGUCUUUAUUUUUAUAUUUUUUGCCUUCAAUACACAUAUUUUUAUGUCAGUUACUGUGAUAAUUUUAGCCAUUCUCCAUUUAAAAUGAAAAGCAUCUAAUUUGAAAAUGAAUUUAUUCAAAAACCAAGUUAGAAUUUGAAUCAAAACUUUCUAUCUAUUAUGUGAGAAUCAUUUUAAUUACACAACCUUACUAUCAUAUUACCAAGCUAAGGUGUCAUAAUAAUAAAACUUACCCUUACUGACUGACAAGCACACGAUAUUUCAAAAUAUAAUAUAUUUUCUAGAGAAAUUCCUAGUAUUGCCAUUAAGAAUAUUAUAUUCUACAACCCAAUAACAUAUAUUAUACCCUCAGUUCAAAGCUACGCUAAACGUUAUAUGUGCGGCCGGAUAGGACCUAGCGCGUAAUCAAUUAAUCAGAGAUUUAUGGAGAUUAAUCGAAGAGUUAUUUUAGGGUUUCUAAAUAAAUAUAUGAUUAUAUAUUAAAUAAGUUUAAGUAUCAUGUCUUUGAUGCAUUGUGUAGUGGUCUUUGUUGAGCUUAAUUAGCCUGCCCAACACGGAUUUGACUGUCACGUUGAACAUUUUGGACAAUAAUUUUAGAAUUAGGUUAAAUGAAAUGGUAAUUGACAAAAUUGCCCUCGUCUUCCACCUUCUUCAUGCAAAAUCUGCAGCUGUUUUGUAAUUAUUAUUUUUUGCGAUUUCAGUCUUUUUCAUAUUAAUUUUGUAAGUUUUGGUCUAAAUAAUACAAAAAAACUAUAACUUAGAAUGUGAUAUCAAAUUUAAAAUCUAUAAAGCAAUGAACUUAUAAAUUUUGGUGAUUAACUGAGCAAAUAGUAUCAAAUCGCGGUGGUGACCAGCUGACUUAUGGUUUUCCGGCGAGUACGCGGCCGUGCAGAACACGUUUUUAGAACAAUGGAUUAUACCAAACUGUGAUGAUAUUAGUUUCAUUUAACCGUUGAUUUUAAAUUAAAAUUCCUAAAUUUUAUAGAUAUAACAUAAAAGUUGGAAAAUAAAAUUAACAAAAAAAGAAAAGAUUGUUGAUUUAACUAGGAUGGUUCAAGAACGAGGUUGUUUGAUCUACACUGCUUUACUUCUCUAGCACACUUAACAACCAUCGAAUUCCAAGAAACCACAUCACCAACUUCCAUAUCUUGUAACAUAGUACUUGCAGUUUUAAAGUAUAUGCAUUUAGCAUACAUAGCAAUCACUGCAGUUUGAACAAAUAUAUUGGUCUUAUAAACCACUCUUAAUUAUGAAGCCAUACGUAAGUUUCUGGAAUUCAACAUGUGCAUCACUCUCUAUUGAGCCAAUAACUUAAUAACGCAUAAGAUAAUUUUAAUUGAUAUUAGAUAUUUUAUACAAAUUAAUUGGUAUUAGAUAUUUUUAUGAAUUUUGUACUACACUUUUACAUUUUCAUCAUCUAUAAUAUUGAAAAAGUUAUUUUUUUUAUUAUGAUCGACAUAUCUGACUUAUAUAUAUGGCAUAUAUGCUGAAAUUUGCGGUUUAUAAUUCCCGUCUUUUUUGAUGCAUCUAGCGGUUGAUUCUGACGAUCCUAAAAAGAAUGCAUUUAAAGCUAUAUUAGAUUAUCAUAUUAAUAGAUUCGGGUUUGAAAUACUUUUUGACUAAUAUUUAGGGUAGCUAGACGUCGGUUACCGGACUAACGUGCUAACUGUCGGGACUUAGAUCCAAACUGGUUAAACAGCAAAAAAAAUAAUUUAAAGAGUCUGAAAAACUAAUUUACGUCAUGUUGUGCUUCAAAUAUGACAUUGCCACUAACAUACCAUUAGUUACUAGUUGUGUAUGAUUCAUGUUUUGUUAUGAUGUCCAAUAGCUGAAAUCAGAAUUCACGUUCUAAGAAAAUUGCGAUAUUCUUUUUCACACAUUUUUAUUUAAAAAUAUUUGAUGAUAGUUUAUUAGUAACAAAUAAAAAUUAAGUUUUACAAAUAUAAGUGCAGACGCACAUUGUGUCUAAGCACCUGCCAUGUCCAUUAUACUUGCGUACACACUGAUCAUUACAUGGUUUAGCUUCGCAAAGUGCUGAUCCUUUAGAAUAAUCAGUACACAUUUCUUGUCCUUGUGACUCCAUCACCGUCCCUAAAAAUAAACAUUGAAAACAUGUAUUACCAUCAUCUUUAUUUUGUUAUAUGUAAAAGGUCAUGAAGAAAUUAAACAUUAUCAAAUCAAAGAUAAAACAUAGAAAUAAUAUUUACUAUAGUUAAGUGUAAAACAAACCUAAAACAAGAACAACCAUGAAAAUAGCAAGAAUUGUGGUUUUAGCCAUUUUUGAUGAUGCAACAAAAAGCGAAAAAUUUAAAAUAAAGAACAGUGAUGAGGUUGUAUUGCAUCCAUGAAUAUCUUAUAUAUAACAAAUUAGAUUUGUAGAUAUUUUUCAAAAGUACCACAAAUUGAAAAACAUAGAAAGAAAUCAAGAGUAAACUUAUAAUAAAGAAGAUGACUCAUACAAACAAAUCAUGAAAAACAAAUAGGAAAAAUAUCUUGAAAUUAAUUAAAACUGAUAGAUUUUAUAGUAAGGUAAGUCAAUAUGUAUUCAUUAUCAGUUGAAUUUAAAUUCUAAUUUCCAAGUUUAAUAGUAUAAAAGAUUCGAUUGUUGGUUUAAAUAGGAUGCUCUAGAUAGAAAUAACCAAUUUGUUAAACUAUAUAAAUUAAUAGAAGUUUGACUAAAAAGAAUAUCUUUAUUGUUAUAUUUUUGAUUGUCUUCUAUACACAUAUUUUUAUGUCAGUUACUGUGAUAAUUUUAGCCAUUCUCCAUUUAAAAUGAAAAGCAUCUAAUUUGAAAACUAAUUUAUUCAACAACCAAGUUAGAAUUUGAAUCAAAACUUUCUAUCUAUUUUGUGAGAAUCAAUUUAAUUACACAACCUUACUAGCAUAUUACCAAGCUAAGGUGUCAUAAUAAUAAAACUUACCCUUACUGAUUGACGUGGCACUAGCAACGAUUUUUCAAAAUAUAAUAUAUUUUCUAGAGAAAUUCCAAGUAUUGCGAUUAAGAAUAUUAUAUUCUACAAUCCAAUAACAUAUAUUAUACUCUCAGUUCGAAACUACACCAGGCGUUAUGUGUGCGGCUGGGUAGGACCUAGCGCGUAAUCAAUUAAUCAGAGAUUAUACGGAGAUUAAUUGGAGUUAUUUUAGGAUUUCUAAAUAAGUAUAUGAUUAUAUAUUAAAUAAGAUUAAGUAUCACAUCUUGGAUCCGUGGUGUAGUAGCCUUUGUUGAGCUUAAUUAGCCUACCCAACACGGUCACAUUGAACAUUUUGGACAAUAUUUUUUAGAAUUAUAUUAAAUAAAAUGGUAAUUGACAAAAUUACCCUCGUCUUCCACCUUCUUCAUGCGAAACCUGUAGCUGUUUUCUAUUAUUUUUUUUUUUUUUAGUUUCAGUCUAUUUCGUAUUAAUUUCGUAAGUUUUGGUUUAAAUAAUACAAAUCGUAACUUAGAAUGUGAUAUCAAAUUUAAAAUCUAUAAAGCAAUGAACUUAUAAAUUUUGGUGAUUAACUGAGCAAAUAGUAUCAAAUCGCGGUGGUGACCAGCUGACUUACGGUUUUCCAGCGAGUACGCGGCCGUGCAGAACACGUUUUUAGAACAAUGGAUUAUACCAAACUGUGAUGAUAUUAGUUUCAUUUAACCGUUGAUUUUAAAUUAAAAUUCCUAAAUUUUAUAGAUAUAACAUAAAAGUUGGAAAAUAAAAUUAACAAAAAAAGAAAAGAUUGUUGAUUUAACUAGGAUGGUUCAAGAACGAGGUUGUUUGAUCUACACUGCUUUACUUCUCUAGCACACUUAACAACCAUCGAAUUCCAAGAAACCACAUCACCAACUUCCAUAUCUUGUAACAUAGUACUUGCAGUUUUAAAGUAUAUGCAUUUAGCAUACAUAGCAAUCACUGCAGUUUGAACAAAUAUAUUGGCCUUAUAAACCACUCUUAAUUAUGAAGCCAUACGUAAGUUUCUGGAAUUCAACAUGUGCAUCACUCUCUAUUGAGCCAAUAACUUAAUAACGCAUAAGAUAAUUUUAAUUAUACAAAUUAAUUGGUAUUAGAUAUUUUUAUGAAUUUUGUACUACACUUUUACAUUUUCAUCAUCUAUAAUAUUGAAAAAGUUAUUUUUUUUAUUAUGAUCGACAUAUCUGACUUAUAUAUAUGGCAUAUAUGCUGAAAUUUGCGGUUUAUAAUUCCCGUCUUUUUUGAUGCAUCUAGCGGUUGAUUCUGACGAUCCUAAAAAGAAUGCAUUUAAAGCUAUAUUAGAUUAUCAUAUUAAUAGAUUCGGGUUUGAAAUACUUUUUGACUAAUAUUUAGGGUAGCUAGACGUCGGUUACCGGACUAACGUGCUAACUGUCGGGACUUAGAUCCAAACUGGUUAAACAGCAAAAAAAAUAAUUUAAAGAGUCUGAAAAACUAAUUUACGUCAUGUUGUGCUUCAAAUAUGACAUUGCCACUAACAUACCAUUAGUUACUAGUUGUGUAUGAUUCAUGUUUUGUUAUGAUGUCCAAUAGCUGAAAUCAGAAUUCACGUUCUAAGAAAAUUGCGAUAUUCUUUUUCACACAUUUUUAUUUAAAAAUAUUUGAUGAUAGUUUAUUAGUAACAAAUAAAAAUUAAGUUUUACAAAUAUAAGUGCAGACGCACAUUGUGUCUAAGCACCUGCCAUGUCCAUUAUACUUGCGUACACACUGAUCAUUACAUGGUUUAGCUUCGCAAAGUGCUGAUCCUUUAGAAUAAUCAGUACACAUUUCUUGUCCUUGUGACUCCAUCACCGUCCCUAAAAAUAAACAUUGAAAACAUGUAUUACCAUCAUCUUUAUUUUGUUAUAUGUAAAAAGGUCAUGAAGAAAUUAAACAUUAUCAAAUCAAAGAUAAAACAUAGAAAUAAUAUUUACUAUAGUUAAGUGUAAAACAAACCUAAAACAAGAACAACCAUGAAAAUAGCAAGAAUUGUGGUUUUAGCCAUUUUUGAUGAUGCAACAAAAAGCGAAAAAUUUAAAAUAAAGAACAGUGAUGAGGUUGUAUUGCAUCCAUGAAUAUCUUAUAUAUAACAAAUUAGAUUUGUAGAUAUUUUUCAAAAGUACCACAAAUUGAAAAACAUAGAAAGAAAUCAAGAGUAAACUUAUAAUAAAGAAGAUGACUCAUACAAACAAAUCAUGAAAAACAAAUAGGAAAAAUAUCUUGAAAUUAAUUAAAACUGAUAGAUUUUAUAGUAAGGUAAGUCAAUAUGUAUUCAUUAUCAGUUGAAUUUAAAUUCUAAUUUCCAAGUUUAAUAGUAUAAAAGAUUCGAUUGUUGGUUUAAAUAGGAUGCUCUAGAUAGAAAUAACCAAUUUGUUAAACUAUAUAAAUUAAUAGACGUUUGACUAAAAAGAAUAUCUUUAUUGUUAUAUUUUUGAUUGUCUUCUAUACACAUACUUUUAUGUCAGUUUCUGUGAUAAUUUUAGCCAUUCUCCAUUUAAAAUGAAAAGCAUCUAAUUUGAAAACUAAUUUAUUCAACAACCAAGUUAGAAUUUGAAUCAAAACUUUCUAUCUAUUUUGUGAGAAUCAAUUUAAUUACACAACCUUACUAGCAUAUUACCAAGCUAAGGUGUCAUAAUAAUAAAACUUACCCUUACUGAUUGACGUGGCACUAGCAACGAUUUUUCAAAAUAUAAUAUAUUUUAUAGAGAAAUUCCUAGUAUUGCGAUUAAGAAUAUUAUAUUCUACAACCCAAUAACAUAUAUUAUACUCUCAGUUCGAAACUACACCAGGCGUUAUGUGUGCGGCUGGGUAGGACCUAGCGCGUAAUCAAUUAAUCAGAGAUUAUACGGAGAUUAAUUGGAGUUAUUUUAGGGUUUCUAAAUAAGUAUAUGAUUAUAUAUUAAAUAAGAUUAAGUAUCACGUCUUGGAUCCAUGGUGUAGUGGCCUUUGUUGAGCUUAAUUAGCCUACCCAACACGGUCACAUUGAACAUUUUGGACAAUAUUUUAGAAUUAUGUUAAAUAAAAUGGUAAUUGACAAAAUUGCCCUCGUUUUCCACCUUCUUCAUGCGAAACCUGUAGCUGUUUUCUAUUUUUUUUUUUUUUGAGUUUCAGUCUUUUUCGUAUUAAUUUUGUAAGUUUUGGUUUAAAUAAUACAAAUCGUAACUUAGAAUGUGAUAUCAAGUUUAAAAUCUAUAAAGCAAUGAACUUAUAAAUUUUGGUGAUUAACUGAGCAAAUAGUAUCAAAUCGCGGUGGUGACCAGCUGACUCACGGUUUUCCGGCGAGUAUGCGGCCGCGGAGAACGCAUUUUAGAACAUGGAUUAUACUAAACUCUGGUUAUAUUAGUUUCAUUUGACCGUUGAUUUUAAAUUAAAGUUCCUAAAUUUUACAGAUAUAACAUAAAAGUUGAAAAAAAAAAUUAAAAAAAAAAAUAAAAGAUUGUUGAUUUAACUAGGAUCGUUCAAGAACGAGGUUGUUUGAUCUACACUGCUUUACUUAUAAACCUAAGUUAAGAUCCACACCUUGCGCGAGAUAAAUAUUAUUUAAAUUGUUUUUAUGUAUUAUAUAUUUUUACAUAUUAUAAAAUUAUAUAUAUAUAUAAUAUUAAAAAAUUCAAUACAUAUUGUGUUUAUUAUUAAAUUGAUGCAAACACAUAAAUAAAUUUUAUUAAUCUGAACAAUCACUUUUUUAUUUUAUAUGGUCUAUAAUUAAAUUUAAAUGAGAUUAACACAUAUAUAUAGUAUAUUGUUAAUAUUGAUAUUUAUUAAAUAAUUUUGUCUACUUAUACUGUUUUUUAAUCAUUUGUUUAAUAAUUUAUAAAUUAAAAAAAAUUCAAAGCAAAAUUUCAAAAUUAAAAUAUAUUAAUAUUUUAUAUGGUAUAGUUUAAUUUAAACUAUAUUAAUAUAUAUAUAUAAUCUUAAUAUUUAUUAAAUGAGAUUUCAUACUUAUAUGAUUUUGUAAUUAUUUGUAUCUUGUAAUAAUAAUUUUAAGUGAAACUUUUAAGAGUUUUAGUAAUUUAUAGUCAUUUUCAAAAAAACUAAAUAUAACAUAUACGGAAAAGUCUAAAUUUUAUUAUAUGGUUAAUGUGGUUUUUUAAUUUAUUUUAGUAAGUUAAAAUUGAAAAAAUGAUAGAGGAUACGUUAGUUUUUAUCAAAUCUUUGUUAUUCAAAAUCAUUAAUUGUCAUAUAUAUUUUUGCGACAUUAGAAAAUUCCUUAAUUUUUGUUUAUGGAAAAAGUGAAGAACAUUAAUAAUUAAUUUAUGGUUAGUUUAAUAAAAGGUUAUUAUAUAUGUAGAUGAAGCAACCUAAUUCUGUAUAGAUUCUAAGAGCAUCAUUAGUGGUUAGGUACUCUCUUAGGUCUCUCAUCAUUAAUUUUGUUAUUAAUUGAUUUUAAAAACAUUAAAUGACAAAAACAAAAAUGAACUAAUGAUAGAGUGACAACAAUUAAAAAAGUCUCUCCAACUUCACCGAUCGUUUCUUCUACAUGAAUCGUCUCUCUCUCUUUUCCUUACCUUUUCUAAUAUUGUCAUUAUUGUUAUUGUCAGAAACUGUCUAACAGCCCCUCACUGCGGCUCUAAGAAUCAUUGUGGUAAUGACAGAUAACUAUCCCAAAUACUGUAAUGUUUCUCUUUUAAUAUACAAGAGAUUUCUAAAAAAAUAUAUGUUUUUUAUGGUUUAUUUUGUUCUUUCAUUUCACAAAGAAAGGACAUGGAUUAAUCUUAUGACUCAUGUUCUUCAUCUGCUUCAGGACCUGCAUCAGAAGUUUCAUCUUCUGUGAGGUUUUGGUUUGGUUGGGUUUUGUCUUCCUCAGGUGUACGCAGUGGUGGACCCACGUUAAGAAUUAUGGAAUCAUCUGACACCCCAAAUAUAUUAUAAAUAUAAUUUGGCAAGCUAAAAUUGUUAUUUGACACUAGCGUAUUUGGUUAGGAAGUUUGGUACUGAACCCAUAAACCCGGGAUCAAAGCCCCUCAGUGACCCCUUUUCUUAAUAUUUUUGUUAUUUAAAAUUUUACCUAUACUAUGACUCCACAUAAAAAAAAUUCUGGGUUCGCUCCUGAAUGUACGUCGGUGGUUAACAGCGGUUUGGAGGACAUGAUUGUAGUUACCUUUCUCGAGAAAAAGCUGACUGAAAUGGACCUUACAAUAAAGGAUGCUAUUGAGUCUGUGUAUAUAAUAGAAAAGUUGACUAAACAUAGUUGACAUCGUCUAAAUCGAUGUGUAAAAUCUACAAAUUUUAAAAGUAUGUGUAUUUAAUAGAAAACAAAAAUUAGUUUGUGUAUUAAACGGGGAUCCAAAAAUAGUUCGUGUAUUUUAUUAGCAAAUAAAAAAUAGUUUUUGUAUUUUUUUUAAAAAAAGUUCAAAAUUUAAACAUGUUUUAGUUAAAUACUAACGCCGUCAUUACUGUCGUUAAACAUAGUUUAAGUUGUCUAAAACUACGUAUAAACCUGCGAAUUUCAAAAGUUUGUGUAUUUAAUAGGUAACGAAGUAUUAAACGAAAAUCAAAAAUAGUUCAUGUAUUUUAUUAACAAAUGAAAAUUAGUGUGUGUAUUUUUAAGAAAUUUUAGUAAAGAAAAGAUGAAGGGUCAUGUUUAUAAAUAACUGACAAAAGAGUGAGAAAGUCUGAAAAAAGAGGAAAAUCCAUUCGUCACUUUCUAUUUCCUGUAACUAACUUUCCCGAGAAAAUUUUCUGUUACUCUUCGCCGCUCGCGGUUUCUCUCCGUCGGUUUGUGAAUAAACAAAUCUGAACUCUCGAUUCGUUUCUUUCUCUGCUCCGUUCUCUGGCUGACCGGUUUGUAGUUUUAUUUGAACACUCCGAUCUCGCCCUGAGUUCCACGAUCAGCUUCUUAGAACCCUAGGGUUUGAACGAGCAAUUAGGUUUCUAGGUUCCGGCGGUUCUCAUUAUCCUUGUAGUGGCUUGAGUUUUUUGUAUAGAUUUCGAGAUCGAGAGAGAGAUUGUGAUGAAUAACAACAGAGGAAGAUAUCCUCCGGGGAAUGGAACGGGACGUGGAGCUCCGCCGCAUCCUGAUUAUCAAUCGUACGGUCAACAACCGCAGAACCACCAGCAGUUUCAGCAGUGGUCAAGACGCGCUCAGCUUCCUGGAAACGCCAAUGAGGUCCAGAACACGACGUCGUCUCAGCCGCCCAACGAUCAUAAGUAAGUCUUCGUUUCUUGGAAAACAACUGUUCAAUACGUUUUAUUACAAAUGAUUCUGAGAUACGAAAGGUUAUUUAAUGAAUUGAUUGGAUUAGAAGGUGAAGCUGAUAUCUCUCUUGUGCUGAAUAGAUUCAGUGGCUCCGUUACUCUCAGUGGCGGCAAAGAUUGGAAGGCAACGUUGAAGCUCCCACCUCCUGAUACUCGUUACCAGACAGCGGUUGAUUACCUUCUUCUGAGAUUUGGCUUAAUAAUUGGACUCUCUCCUUAUGUGUGUGAACCUUUUUGUUGAACAUUGUAUGUAGGAUGUGACAGCUACAAAAGGAAAUGAAUUCGAAGAUUACUUUCUGAAAAGGGAUCUUUUAAAGGGAAUAUAUGAGAAGGGUUUUGAGAAGCCAUCUCCUAUUCAAGAAGAGAGCAUUCCCAUUGCUUUGACCGGUAGUGAUAUUCUUGCUAGAGCCAAAAACGGCACAGGAAAGACUGGUGCUUUCUGCAUUCCUGUUCUUGAGAAAAUUGAUCCUAAUACCAAUGUUAUUCAAGGUUUGCUGGUUUAUUGUUAGGAACUCCUUCUCUAUUUGUGAACAAAUAGAGUUACUUUCUGUUCUGACUGGUGUUUGUUUUUUAUACAGCCAUGAUUCUAGUUCCAACGCGAGAGCUGGCUCUUCAGACUUCGCAGGUUUGCAAGGAGCUUUCCAAAUACUUGAACAUCCAGGUUAUGGUCACCACUGGCGGUACCAGUCUGAGAGAUGAUAUCAUGCGGUUACAUCAACCUGUUCAUCUGCUCGUUGGAACUCCUGGAAGAAUACUGGAUCUUACUAAAAAGGGAGUGUGUGUUCUGAAAGACUGCACGAUGCUUGUGAUGGAUGAGGUGAGCUCAUGUACUAUAUCUUCGUUUUGUGAUUUAUUGCUAAAAGUGUGAUGAAAAAACUGUAGGAUUACUGCUAAAAACAAGUUUUCUGAUUGAUUGCAUCCUACUCUAUAUAAAUGCAUUUGCUAUACUUACCGCUUUCUGUAGUCAGUUUUAAAGUUUUAAAUAGAAGUUGUUUUAUUGUGCCAUAAGAUUCAAAGUUUUUAACUCUUUAAAUACUAUCUUACCAGGCCGACAAGCUUUUGUCUGCAGAGUUCCAACCUUCUCUAGAGGAAUUGAUACAGUUUCUGCCAGAGAAUCGUCAGUUUCUGAUGUUUUCUGCUACAUUUCCUGUCACUGUGAAGGCUUUUAAGGAUCGGCAUCUGCGGAAACCAUACGUUAUCAAUCUCAUGGAUCAACUCACGCUAAUGGGUGUCACACAAUAUUACGCUUUUGUUGAAGAGAGACAGAAGGUUCACUGCCUCAACACACUUUUCUCUAAGGUCAGAUGUAUAAAACAAUCCAUGUUACCAGAUAACUCUCUGCUACUCAGAUUUGGAUGAUCUAAGCUGGUUGUCGUUUUUAAUUGCAGCUGCAAAUAAACCAAUCGAUAAUCUUUUGCAACUCUGUUAAUCGCGUGGAACUGUUGGCUAAGAAAAUUACAGAGCUCGGUUAUUCGUGCUUCUACAUUCAUGCGAAGAUGGUUCAAGACCAUAGGAACAGAGUGUUCCAUGAGUUCCGCAAUGGUGCUUGCAGAAAUCUCGUUUGCACUGGUAUGCUUUGUGUUCUUCGAGCAUGUACAUGUACUUUGAUCAAUGAUCAAAUGUAGAUGAUGCUGAAAUAUGACUGGUGCAGAUCUGUUUACUCGUGGAAUUGACAUUCAAGCUGUGAAUGUAGUGAUUAACUUUGAUUUUCCUAGGACAUCUGAGUCGUAUCUACACAGGGUAGGUCGAAACGAGAACUCUUUUUUGCUAUAGCUUCUCUAGUACAACCUCGGUCUUCUUAGUUCAUACUGUGAAAAUGUUCAGGUGGGCCGAUCAGGACGGUUUGGACACCUUGGGCUGGCUGUGAAUUUGGUUACAUACGAGGACCGUUUCAAAAUGUCAGUCGCUCUUCCUCUCCAAUGUUCUUACCGUGUCUUUUGUUUUUCGUUUUUGUUAUAGUUUUCUCAGGCAUUUAUCAUAUGUUUUGAAAACAGGUAUCAGACUGAGCAAGAACUUGGCACUGAAAUCAAACCAAUUCCUUCUCAGAUUGAUCAAGCCAUCUACUGUCAAUAAACCUGUUACCGCACGAGAAAUGUUACCACCCCACGAGUCACAGUGUUGAUGAAAAUGGUGAGGCAAUUUUUCUUCUUCUUAGCUCUUGGCAAAUCAACAUUGAUUGCAUCUGAAGACCUAUGUGCCGCAUUGUUCAGGUGUUUCUCAAGCUAUAGUAGGAGGUGAGGGAACUGAUGCUUGGCGGUUUAUGUAAAGACGACUCGUUACAGAUAUGAACCAGUGUGGUUUGGUUUCUAAUCUUUCUCUAGACUUUGUUUCGUGGUUCUAAUGAAAUCUGUUAACGUUGCUCAUUUAUCUUUGACUUGGUAGUCAAGAAAUAAUAAAGAGAACAUAAGGCUCCUACUUUUUUCCCUGUUGGGUUUUAUACUUUUAUCUAGUGACAGCUGUACUUAUUUUUUUCCCUAGUGUUAUCCGUUGAGAAUUUAGUUUUGCAAGAUAUUUUUUGUUUUUGAUUUACUUGUUUUUACAAUAUAACUCAUGUGAUUCAGAUUCCUGUGGAGAUGUCUCGUUAUUUGAUGAAUAGAUAAGUCGCAUUUAAUUCUUUCAUGUAAAUAAAUAUCUAUGAAAUACUAUAUGUUUGUAUGAAACUACGGCUUUGACUUGUAGCUGACCACAUUCAUGGAGAUAAUAAAUGGAACCCCACCUUGUCUGCAAGGUCAUGACCAAACAGUAUCUUCUUUUUCUUUGACUCUUUGCGAUCCCUAAGCCUAGACAACUUGACGGUGUCGACUUUCUGCUGGCCCAUUGUGGAUUCUGUAAAUUUUAGUAGUAAUAAACAACUAGUAAUAGUAAGAAGCUCAAGCACAUAUAACUUAGUUAUCACACAAAAAUUACAUAAUAGUAAAGAAAGAAUAUGUAUAUAUAUGGCCAUUGUUCAAUGUUCACUAUUAUUUAUUAACAUCAUGAGCGUUUUCAUUUUCUUACGUUAUACUCCUUGUUUGUCGCAUCAAACUUCUUUUCCUUGGGCUCUAAAGUCUACAAGAGUCAAGACUACAAGUCCCUGUCGUCUCCAUUACUUCCACUUCUGCUCCUUUCUUUACUAACUUUAAUUAUUUUUCUAAGAAAAAUGACAAUACAUGUUGCUCUCUGUCUUUGUUUUCCCGGCUAAAAAGGAUGUCACGUUUUAUCCGCUUUUAAUGCUCUUUUUCAUUUCCUGUUUCUUGCAAAUAGAAAUCCUGAGAAAUCCCUAGCCCACUUCUUUACUUUGCCUUAGCUGUAUUCUACAACCCUGACGAGUCGGCUACUUACGAGGGUUGUAUAUUACUCUUUCUCUCUGUUUCAUAUCAAGUAUUUGUUGAUGAAAAAAAAAAUUCGUUACAAAAUAAGUGUUGUUUUCAAAUUUUAAUGUAAAACUAGAUUCUGACCCGCCCUUAAAAGGGCGGGUAUAUUUUUUGUUUUACAUUUUUUUAGAAAUUUAAUUUUUAUAUUUUGUGUUUUAAAUUUUAAUUUUAGAAAUUUGAUUUUCAUAUUUUUUUAUUUCUUUGUAAUUAUAUUUGUAUUUUCUUUGUAAUUAUAUUUGUGUGUAAAUUUUAAUCAAAAUCUAUUUUAUGAAAUAAUAUCAAUUCAAAAGUUGAUCCGGCAUACGCUUGGUUCUUUGUAAUCAUAUGCCGAUAUAGCCGUUUUUUUGUAAUCAUAUUUUUUUUGUUCUAGGUCUUGACCCGUGAAUAUAUUGUUGGUUUGUAAUUUUUGGUUUUUUAUGUUUCUGUAAAUAUGCAACAUUUUUCUGUAAUUUUUUUAAUAUGUUAAAGAAAUUUAAUUUAUAUACACUUAUGGUAAGUAAGAAUAAGAAUGAACGAAAGGUGUUCCUCGGAAUUCUAGUAGGAUUAUCCUAACGUAGUGGUAAGUAUAUAUUAACUGAAAAAGGUAGAGUUAUAUAACAUAGGGUUAAAUUUUUUUUACUUGUUGAUAACCACCCUAAUGUAUUGGUUAUUGUUUAAAUAAAAUCAAAUACAGUUAUGUAAAGAGAAUAAUAAGUGGCUCAUUAAAUAAAUGGAAUAAAUAAUUGGACAUAACAUUUAUCAAUAGAUACUAAAGCGAAUCAAUCCAUUUUUAGUCUAUUUACUUUAAAUUUGUUUUGAUAUUUUUAAUAAAAUAAAAUUAAUUUAUUAGUUUAACUUGGUUUAUAUUUGAUAAAUGUUUUGUAUAUUUGAUUUAAUAACCCGUGAAAACAUAAAUAAUUAUCUGGUACACUAUAAAAGUAAGAUAUUAUAAAUAUUAACUAACUUUAGAUAUUUUUUAUUAAAAAUAGAUAAUAAUUUUAAUUGUGACCAUGUUAUAUUAAACAAAUAACUUAAAUUCAAUUAAAUCAUAUAUUGAUCUAAAUUUGAAAUGUUCGUCGUUUUUUUGUUGUAAAAAAAAAAGAGAAUACAGAUAAUGGUUACAUUAAAUAUUUGAUAGGUUAACUAUAAAACCAAAAACAUGAACCAAAGAACUAAAUAUCAUAAAUAAAAGAAUUUGCUUUAAUAUUCCGUGGAUGAUAAAUACCAUGGUUCCUUAAUGGUUAAAAAUAAAUACCAUGGUCCCAAUUUCAAAACAAAAACAUUAUACCAUGGGUCUCUGAAACUUGAUAGUGGCCUUCUCUGACCACGAAGAGUGUCGUAACACUUAGCAUUAGAAUUUAGUUUUAACUUGGAACUGUCUACUAUUAUACGUUAGUGAAGCAUAUAUUUAAUAAUUUAUUUUUAUAUGUUCAAAUACUCUGAUAACCGUCGCGUAGGAGAGGAGCCCGAGAAUUUUGGAACUUAAAAGGGAAGUUACAAAAUAUUCAGAUUUUCAAUUGGUAAUUUAAAUAUAGGUCUAACGGUAUAAUAAAUAAUAUUCCAAAUAAUGAUAGGAAUAAAAAUAAUAAUAAUUGGACCCUACUUUUAUCAAUGGGUCAAACUGCUGUUUUAAUAGAAUAGAUUUAUUAAUUUUAUUCAGCUAUAUAUUUUUCUAUUAGGUGAAAUAUGGUUAAAUAUAUAUGUAAUUAUGUUUUUAUAUAAAAAAUAUACAAAAUUAAUUAUAUUUUUGCUAAAAUUCACACCUUCAAUAUUAUCAAUCAAAAUCUCAAAGCUCUACUUGCAUCUUGACAAAAAAAAUGUUUUGUUUUUAUGAACAAUCUGCUGUUGCUGUCACAAACAUUGAAUACACAAUGUCAUAAAUGUUGUACAAAAAUUGCGUGUAAUAAAUGGCCAGGGCCGGCUCGAAGCUCGCUGAUCGUCCUUAUUUGCUUCUCUAUUCCCACACACAAUCGUUUUUAUUUCGCUUUUCUUAUACCUCAUUUUAUUUAUAUCAUCUAUAUAUAAAGAACCCUUCCUUUGGCUUUUGUUUCAUCUUUACGACAUUAAAAACCAGACCAGAAACACAUUAAUAGUUUUACCUUUUUCUCAAAAAUUCUCACUUUGAUCCUAUCUUCCCCUUUUUCACUUGGAGGUUUGUCUGUCUCUUCUAUGAAUUUACAACUUUUACUAUACGAUCAUGAAAAGUUUUCAUUCUCUGUGUUUCGUCUUCUUCUUUAAGCUUCAGAACUUGUAAAGGGUUUUCGUUAUUUUGUUAGCGAGGUGAGCAAAAUGGGAAGAAAGCCUUGCUGUGACAAGAAAGGUUUAAAGAAAGGUCCAUGGACUCCUGAAGAAGAUGAGAUUCUUGUUGAAUAUAUCAAGCAAAACAGCCAUGGAAGCUGGAGAUUACUUCCAAAGAAAGCUGGUAAAUCUCACAUUCUUCCCUCUUUCGGUCUUUUGUUUGAUUCUUGAGACAGUUAAAAAAACAUAGUUUCCAGCUUAUUCCUUCAGCCUCAAGUAACUACUAGGGUUCUUGAUAGUUUUUUUUGGAGCUUAUUUGCCAGAUAACCAAAAAAAUGAAAAAUUAGAUUUUGGAAGAGAGAGUAAAGAGAUAGGAAGAGAAAGUAGGAGAGAGGGGGGAGUUUUAGUUAGUUAGUGUAUUUUUGUUUUUUUAUUGUAUAUAAGAUGCAAUUUUCUUCUUUUUUUUUUUGAAAAAUAGGGUUCUUGAUAGUUUUCAUCUUUAUUAGGUUUACUACGCUGUGGAAAGAGUUGUAGAUUGAGAUGGACCAACUAUCUAAGACCAGACAUAAAGAGAGGUCCAUUCACUCCCCAGGAGGAGAAACUCGUUGUCCAACUUCACGCCAUUCUUGGCAACAGGUUGCUUCUACAUUGUCUUAUAAAACUCGGUUAAUUUCUCGUUGUUUGAAUCCUCUCUUUUUGUCUUUGGGGUUAGGUGGGCUGCUAUAGCAGCACAGCUUCCAGGGAGAACAGAUAACGAGAUCAAGAACUUAUGGAACACACACUUGAAGAAACGUAUGCUAAGUAUGGGUCUUGAUCCCAAAACGCACGAGCCGUUACCUUCACAUGGGUUAGCCAAACAAGCUCCAGCUUCACAAACAACUCGCCACAUGGCUCAAUGGGAAAGUGCUAGGCUUGAAGCUGAGGCAAGACUCUCUAGAGAGUCAAUUCUUUUUAAUCCUUCUUGUGAAGUGAAAUAUGAAUGUGAUCACUUCUUACGCAUAUGGAACUCAGAGAUUGGUGAAUCUUUCAAAAACCUUACUACUACAAGUCAAAGCCCUUGCUCGAGGACAACAUCUUCCUCAUCUGCACUUGUAGGGAAAGAGACUGUUAUGGGGAUUAAUCAUGGCUCUGGCUCUUCUUCUCCAUGUUCGAAUAAUGUUGAAGAUGUUUCAUCAGAUUCUGCUCUUCAGCUUCUACUUGAUUUCCCAAUAAGUGAUGAUGAUAUGAGCUUCUUGGAAGAGAACAUUGGUAGUAGCUACACAGAGUCACACGUUGGUGUUUCUAUCAAUGGUUUCUAAACUUAUGGUUUCUAAAAAAAAGAGAGAUACAUUGUCUAAUGUAAAUUCGCAUUCAGUUGGUUUAAAAUUAUUUAUUUUCUUAUCCGUUGUUUUUAAAUGUCAUCAGAUCUUACGGCUGUGAAGCCAAUAAGCUGUUGUCGAUCACGUAAACUGCGAUGUAGGUGAAUAUAAAACUCUGGUUACCGACAGACAGGUAAUACUGUUAACAAUGCCACGUAAGACUAAAAAUGUGGAGCUUUUCAAGCAAUUUGUCGUGACCCCCUUCGCGCCAGAUAAAGUAGGCUUUAUCUAUUGGGCCUGCUUCCAUUUUUAUACAAUUUUAUUCAAAAAUAUCUAAGAGCUAUCUCACAACCAGACCUAGGCAUUUUAGUCAGAUCCGAAAAUCUGAGUCGGAACGGCCCAAAAAUAUCCGAAUUAGAAUCGGCCUGAAAAUAUCCGAUGCAAAAUCGAACAAAAAAUUUACAAGUACUAUCUAUUGGAUCCAAAAUUCUUCUAUUUGAAAGAAUCGAAAAAACUGGUCAACAUAUUCGAUCUAAUAAGAACUAAUUCAUAACCGACUUAAAAAUAUGAAAAUCCAAAACUAUGACAUUUUACGUUCUAGUUUCUAUAUUUUAUUUUAUGAUUUAGUUGAAAUAUUUUUGUUUAUAACAUGAAACUUUAAAUGUAAGUGUUACAGAAAAAUGAAGCUUUAAUUAAUUGUAAAAUUUAGAGUUUUAAAAAGUUUUAUAUUAAUUAUUAAUAGUUUUAAGUUGUUUUGUAAAAUUUUAGAUAUAUAUGAAAUAUUUCGACUAAAUUUGAUCGGGUUUGGAUAUUUCGUAUCAUUUUCGGAUAAUAAAUACUCGAACCCAACCCGGAUCUAAUAAGGACCCUAAAAUUGUUGGUAUUUUACAUAUAUUUUAAUUAUAGAUUCGAACCUAUCUGGAUCUUAAAAGAACCGACCAGAAUCCGAACCAAAUAUUUACAAGUACUUAUUAGAUCCAAAUGUUUAGAAGGAUCCGAAUUUAAGAAGAAUCAGCCCGAACCCGACUCGAAGACAAGUCAAGGCCUACUCACAACUAAGGUUUGAGUGACCAAAGAUAAAACAACCCAGAAGAUUUUGUCUCUAUUAUAUCAUGCAUGAGAAUUGGAAACCUUCAUGUUUGCUGGUUUAUAAACUUAUGGGCUUUCAAUUCCCUUUCGUCUUAUGGCCCGGCCCAUCUUGUAUACCAAUUAGUAAACUUUUAAUUCUACCGUUCGUCUACUAGUGUGCUCUUACUAAACAAACAAGCGGAGUUUUAGCUCUAAUUCUAUCGUACUACACUUCAAUAUUGGCUUUAACAAUGGACGUAAGAAAAUUAGUAACUUGAACGUGCUUAAUUAUUUAUUGACAAUGGUUUGCGUAUGAGUCUGAGAGUUGUCGAGGUUAGGUCAGCUACUAAACGUUUGAUUGAGCACGUUCUCUCGUAGUUAUGGGUAAAUAGAAUAUACACUUCUGACAACACACCACGAUAAUCUCAUUUAAUGUUUUGAAAAAUGAUACAUCUGCUGAGUAUAGUAUAUUAUUUUUAUUUAUAAUCUCCAAUCAAAAGCCGUGAUCUAAAACAAAGCCCGUAAUAUAUUCUGUUACUUGUAUAUGUAUCGUAUAAUACUAUAAUUUAAACUUAGAUCAGAUCAUAACUCGUUUCUUAAAAUCCAAAGAAGACACGUUGGUAAGUUGUUAUAAACAAUGCAUGGAAGUCUCUAGAGAUUAGGGCUAGCUGGGGAUAGGUGAGGGUUAAUGGAGGAGAUUAACGAGAUUAGGAGUUUAGUGAUAAUUAAAAAACAAUAGAAUAGGGUUUCUCUGAUUACUGAAUUAUCUUAAGUUAUUAAUCAAACCAUAUCAACCACAUAGGUAAAGACUCCUAAGCAGACUUAUACAUCAAUCUCAUCGACCCUAACCUAUCAUUGUCUAUACAUAAUAAUAUCCCAAGUCAUUAUCUCAAUAAAUCAACAGCUAGUUAAUUGAAAAACCAAAGCCUCGAUUUUCUAUCGUUAGUUUUUUGUCUUGGUCUUUUGACCGUUUCUCCAUGUCGUAUCCUCUUUUUCAUUAUAAGUCUUUGUAACUUUUAUUACACUUCAUAAAAGAACGAUUAGACUCGUGCAUCAAGGAGUGGAAGGCAUGAAGACGAACAACAACGAUGAACAACGCAAAACGCUGCCGUUUCCUGGAAAAUACAUCUUGAAAUCUACUGUUUUCAUCGUUGCUUCUCUCUUCAUAUCAGCUGCUCUCUUGGGUUUUCUUGGCUAUCUCAACUUUGUGAGUUUUAAAUCCAAAUAUUUUUGUGCAUUCUAUAGCGUAACACACUAUACCAUAUUAACUUUUUUUAUUCUUUAGAAUGCUUUCGCAGGUUUCAAACUAAUACCGAAGAGAUUUAAACCUAGGUUCCCUUACCAAUGCGACGUUCAGGAUCAAACACAUCAGAUUCAUUUCUCUCAGAAUCUCACAUCGAGAUUACAUACCAGCCGUUCACAACCAUCGUCUUGUCCUUCUUACUUCCGCUGGAUCCACGAAGACUUACGACCGUGGAAAGAAACGGGGAUAACUAGAAACAUGGUUGAGAAAGCCAGCAAAACGGCGCAUUUUAGACUAGUGAUCCACCGCGGCAAGGCGUACGUUAAGAGAUACAGAAAGUCAAUUCAAACGAGAGAUGAUUUUACUCUGUGGGGAAUCCUACAGUUGUUACGGUGGUACCCGGGGAAAUUGCCUGAUCUCGACCUUAUGUUCGACGCUGACGAUCGUCCCGUCGUCCGAUCUGAUGACUAUACAGGUCAACAAAACAAGGAUCCACCUCCACUGUUUCGUUACUGCUCUGAUGAUGCCAGCUUGGAUAUUGUCUUCCCUGAUUGGUCCUUUUGGGGCUGGUAAGCUAACUCUACUAGAUACUGUGCUUAUUAUUAGGCCUUAUUUGUAACAUGGGCUUUUAAUGGGCUAGGGCUGAAGUAAACAUAAAACCAUGGGGGGAGUCGCUAGAGGCAAUACAAGAAGGGAACAAUAUUACACAAUGGAAGGACCGUGUGGCGUACGCUUAUUGGAGGGGGAAUCCUUAUGUAGACCCCACGAGAGGAGAUCUUCUCAAGUGUAACGUUUCGGAAAAUGAAGAAUGGAACACUCGUCUCUAUGUUCAGGUGUUACAAAAGUUCACUUAGAAAAAUACUUUAUAUUAUACACUUACAUGUGUAUACGAGUUAUAAUGUAUCUCAAUUUUUGAAAUGGUCUUCAAGGACUGGGAUAAAGAAACCAAAGAAGGGUUCAAGAACUCAAACCUAGAUCACCAGUGCACCCACAGAUACAAGAUAUAUAUAGAAGGAUGGGCAUGGUCGGUUAGUGAGAAGUAUAUAAUGGCAUGUGAUUCUAUGACAUUGUACGUGAAACCAAGAUUCUACGACUUCUACAUACGAGGAAUGAUGCCACUGCAACACUACUGGCCAAUCAGAGACGACUCCAAGUGUACUUCUCUCAAGUUCGCCGUACAUUGGGGGAAUACACACGUGGAUAAGGUUAUCUAAUUAAAGGUUUUCACAUUGGACCUCGAAGUUUGUUUUGUGUAAAUGUAAACCUGGUUGGUUUUUGUUGUGUAGGCACGUGAGAUUGGAGAGCUAGGGAGUAGGUUUAUAAGAGAGGAGGUGAACAUGAAGUAUGUGUAUGACUAUAUGUUUCAUUUGCUCAAUGAGUAUGCGAAGCUCUUAAAAUUUAAGGUAAAGAUUCCUUCGGAUGCGGAGGAGAUCACACCGGAGAGUUUGGGAUGUGCAGCGACUGAGCGGUGGAGAGACUUCAUGGCGGAGUCUAUGGUAAUGUCUCCAAGUGAAGAGUUUCCAUGUGAGAUGGUUCCUCCUUAUGACCGUCUGGCUUUAAAAGAGGUCAUUGAGAGAAAAGCUAAUUUAACACGUCAAGUUGAGUUGUGGGAGGACCAAUAUUUUAAUGAUUUGGCCAACAAACCUUAAUUUAUACAAAGGUUUUAAUAUUAGUAUUUCCAUGAUGUUUUUGCUAGUAACCGUUUUAUUUGCUUUACCUAUAAUUCUCACAUAUGCAUACUAUCGAGAUCUGUAUCAGGAAUAACAUGAAAGUCGUGAUGAUAACACCAAUCAUAUGUAUAUUAGACUACAAAGUUUUAUUCGCAACGAUCUUAUUACCUAUAGCGUCAAUGUUUAUUGUUUAGUCUCUACUAGACAAUUAGUCACAUACUCUGUGUGGUGACGCACUGACGCUCCACAAUCAUUUCGAAAAUGUAGAAAAAAAGAUAACAAAAUGAGUAUUAUUUUUUAAACAUGACAAAGAGAUGAAUAAAGAAAAAAAAUUAUUUAUCAAAGUUUUUGUAAAUGUUGCUAUAAGCUUGUCAACAAAGUUUGUAGGUGACAGAAAGAAACUAUAUUAUGCGUAGGUAGUGUUCAGUGUUUCAUAUAUAUAUAAUUAACGAGAGCGCGCGGUUGACAAACUUAAGCUUACAUCAUUAAUACGGUGUCCUAUACCUUAAUCACGUUACACUAUCAACCCGGACCUCGCUUUGAUUCUAUACAGUUAUAAACCAAACUCCAAAAUCAUUAAUUAGUUUAUUUUUUACCUCUUAAAGAGACGCAUGAGAAGUGAGCUAUGGUUAACCGUACCCUAAACUUCUCUGUUCUUCACUAGCCCUCUUUCUCUCUCUAGAUCUUGUGUGUUUGUCAGAUGGGAGAGAGCAUACACGUGGAUAGAUCCACAUAUAAGACCUACAUGAGAAACAACAAAACCCAGUUGUGAGGUUAUGCUCUAAACACCUACUAAACACAUAUAUGGGUCACCACCAUAACAUAGCAUAUACCUAUGAAUCAUGAUAUCAUUUUUUAUGUUUUGAUAUUAAUUAGUUUGUAUUAAGUGAGAGUAGAAUUCAGUGUCAUUAUCACCUCCAAUCUGAAUCCGAGAAAUGUUUUAGUCGAAAACUGCUUGAAAAUGUAUCAAACAAAAUAUAAACCUAUAAUAUAUAAAAAUUGAGGAUAUAAACCAUCGAAAGCAUCCACAUAAAAUUUAAAACAAUCAACUAAAAUACGAUAAAUUAUCAUCUUCAUUUAUUUUAGUUUUCUAAAAUGUCAAUAUUUCCAGAUAUUUUUAAAUUAAAACAAAAUUACUAUUAAAUAAAUAAGUUAAACUAACAAAAUAAAUAUUAACAUUUGAAAACUAACUUAAAAAUGGUAAAUAUUAUAGUAAAAUGGAAAAGUAAUUAUUUUUGGUGUGAUAAAUCCAAAGUAAAAUUUAUAAUAAAAUAAAUGGUAAAUUAAUGCUAAAAUAGUUAAAGUAACAAAAUUAAACAUCUAAAAACAUUCACAAUUAAUAAAACAAGAAAAUUAUAUUUCCAAAAUAUGUUUUAAAAUAAAACGAAAUUACUAUUACAUAUAUAAGUUAAACUACCAAAUUAAAUAUAUAUACUCUACAAAAGUUGAGGCUAUAAGCCAUCGAGAAUGUACACAUAGUAUUUCAAAAUAAAUAUGAUGAAAAGAACGAGUUUUUUUCUAAGCAAAUAUAUAUAUGAAUACAAUAGUAUACUAACACUGGUGAAGGCUAAUUAGAUAAAUAUAAUACUAAUAUAUAUAUACAUAUAUAUAUGUAUUAACAUUGAUUUUUUAGUAUUAGCUUACGUAAACAUUUCAUGUGUAUCUUUAAAGAGAAACAACAUAGUUUGAUUAAUAGGGAAUUUCUUAAAAUAUCAUUAAUUGGAUAUCACUUUUCAAAAAUAAUUUAAUCUAAAAUAUUUUAAUAUUUGUGUUUAUGGUUUUGUAAAUAUUGUUUAGGAUUUAGUAUUUAGGGGAGGGUUGGGUUUAUAAGUUUCUAUAAAUAAUUUUUAAACAUUUACAAAUGAUUUGGAACGGUUAGUUUAGUUUUGUCCACAAAUUUAAGCUAUUUAUAAAAAUGGUCAUUUUUUAACGGUAAAUUUCAAAUGUGAUAUCAAUUUUGUGGUAAAAUUAAAAUUUUCACUUAAUUAAUUGGUAUUGUUCUCCGCAGCCUUGCAUUCAAUCAAAACAAGCUAUCUUUUGUCACGUUAAAAUAUAAGUUGAGAUUAUAAGUUUUUAAAAAAUGUUCAAAUAUGAUUUCAAAUUAUCAGUCAAAAUAUGUUAAAUUAUUAUUGUAACGUGUAAAUUUUAAAAUUUCUGGAAAAAUAUUUUAUAUAAAAUAAAAAUUAAUAUAAAAUAAAAUUAAUUAAUAAAACUAAAUCAUUAAAAAUGAAUUAACUUAAUAUAGAUACUAAAUUGUUGAAAUAACAUUAAAAUUAGUUGACAAAAAUAUUAGCAAAAUUUUCCAAAAAACUCAUAAUUUGUUUUGAAAUACAAAUCUACACUUCAUGUUGAAAGUAUUUUUGAAAUGUGCUAACUUCUUGUUGAAAGUUUUUUUGAAAAGUGGUAACUAACUUAAGAUAUUUUAAUUAGUCUCUAGGAUUUAGAACCAUUAAUCAUGUACAUUUUCAAGUUGACAUUUUUUAAACAAUUAUAUAUUUUAACGUAAUUUAUAAAUUCAUAAAUAAAAACAAAUAAUCAUUUUUUUGUCAGCAAUUUAAACAUACUCAACUAAGACUUUGCAAACCAAACUGUUAUAAAUUAUAUAUUUUUAACAUAAUUUGUAAAUUCAUAAAUAAAAACAAAUAACUUUUUUUUGUCAGUAACAUAAACCGACUCAACUAAGAUUCUGCAAACAAACCAAACUGGUAACUCUGUAUUUAUAUGAACAUAAAAGACGGUUGAGUCUUGUCACUGCGUGCAAGAGUGUCCGCCUUUGUAUUCUUCGUUUUGGGUAUAUGAAUGAGCUCCGAGUGAUUGAUUUUUUUUUUCAUUAUCUUGAUAUCUUCCAAAUAACUUAUAAAAAUAGUCAAUUCUUCUGAUUCUGAAAUUAUCUUUUUUUUGAAACUAUUUUAACCAAUUGAAAACAAUCAUAAAUUCUUUAUACAUUCCCUCAGAUGAACGUUUCUAUUUCCAGAUGAAGAUGUGAGAGGAUGGCAGACCAGCAAGCUCAGCCUCAGGAAAAAAGAGACGAGAACUAUCUUCAUUUAAAUUCUGAACGUAUCGCAAGCUCAUUAAUUUCAUUUCUCAGGCUAUCCAUUUCCUCUUUUUUUGUUGCAGUAAAGUUCAGACCAUUGUGCUCGGAGUCUCGAACCUGUCACUGAUAAAACAGAAAUCAAUACAUUUCUUCAACACAGACAGCUUAGUAAAGAAAAAAAAAGAAGUAUGCAAGCAACUCUUUCAAAUGUGCUACGAAAUAGAGCUCAUUACUGCAACCACUUUCUUCUGGAGCAACAGAAGGAAAUAUUUAAUUAGAACCUCUAGUGAAACCCUAAAUAUUCAUGCACAGAUAUAAAUAUUCUUUUGAUAUUCCUUGGAUUUUUUCUAACAUGUAUGCGUUAAUCUCGUCAACUGUCUCAUUUCCUGGAGUUAGAAUAGCUCUCUUGGUAAUUCUUGCUUUUGUACUUUUUGAUAGCAUAUUUUCUGCGCUGGUGUCUCCGAAAAUAUCCUGCAAAUGAUUUCCAGAUGAUUGCAUUAAGACUUUGGGAUUAACUACGACUAUUUGACCAUUGUCUUCGUUGGCUGCUCUUGCUUCGUUUCUAGGUGCAUUUCCAUCACCAACACAUAGCAGCCAUUCCGCAAAGCUUUCUUGUGAUUUUUCGUCUCAUAUUCUGUUUGAGAUCAAAGACUUUGCAGAAGUCCCACAAGUGUGACUAUUUUAUUGUAACUAAAACUGUGUCAGCUCUAUAACUUUGUCGAAUUAUCAGUAGUGUUUGCCUUAAGUCUCCACCUAAUAAUAUAGUUUUGCCUCCAAAAGGUUGGUUUUUAACUUUUGGAUCUUUAAUGGACAUCAAAUCUUGUAGUGUUCUGUCAAGGGCUUCAAAUGCAUGCCGUUGUCUAGGAGCCUCAUCCCAUAUAAUUAUAUCAGUUUUUCCAGUUAGUUCAGCUAGCAUUAUUUCUGGAAAUAUAUCACAUACUGAAUCUUCAUUGAGAUUCAUGGGUGUAUCUUAAAGCGGGAAUGUGCUAUCCUUUUUGCAGGUAAAAGCAAUGCUGCACUACCGGAUGAAGCAACUGGGAGUACUAUUUCUUUUCUUUUUUUUUUCUGAUCGCAACUUAGAAAUAAUGAUGUUGUAAAGGUAUGUCUUCCCUGUUCCACCAGGAACGUAUAGAAAACAAUAAUUUACCCAAACCAUUUUCAACUGACUCCAUAACUGCAUCAUAAACUUUUCUUUGCUGCACAUUUAGACUGUUGCAUCGUUUGCUAUGUUCCUCUUUUUCUUGAUGUAUAUUGUAUUGUAACUCUUGGUUUAGCAGUGUGUUACCUAGUUCUUUUAUAACUGUUAGAUCUGGUUUUGGCAUGUCAUUUAACUCGUCUAGUGACCGUUCAUGCCGGUGCAUCACUUUCUCUAUCUCGCUCAUGACCGAUGAAACCGACAUGUCGAUCAACACGACGAAACCAACAUCUCUUUCGAGACUAUGAUAAAUGAACUACGUUAGACUUAACCCCGCAAUGGGUACGUAGGCAGCUCGACUUCAAGUUCAGUCACGAUCCUUCUUUCUCCCGAAAUCUCUAUGCUAUUUGGCAUGCGAAUAGAGUCCAUUUCUGUCAACUCAUACAUGAUUACAUUUGUGUCCUGAAGAUAUAGUUGCUUAUGCUAUUUCUUUCCUAAUCUUUACAAACAAUCACUACCAAAUACCUAAUGUGGGUUUUAGGAUCCACAAUAAUGUCGUGCUCAGUUCGGUUUUAUAUUUUUUUAUAAAACCAAAAACUUAACUGAAUUAGAAAUGAUUCAGAUUUGGAUUGGGUUUAAAGUAGAAACCAACAAAAACUCGAAAAUCCGAGUUAAAUCCAAAAAAUCAAAGAAAAUAUUCGGGUUAUUCAACUUUUGAUAAAAAAUUAUUUGUAUAUAUACAUAUAUUUUUAAAAAAUUAAAUUUUAAAUAUAAUUUUAGGUAAAUAAAUGAUAUUUUUGAUAUUUGGAUACAUGUUCGGAUUUUGGUUAAGUUCCGGUUCAAUUUUGUUUUUUAGUUUUUUUUUUUUAAAUAUGAUCUGAUCCGUUCGGGUUUUUGUAAGUUUCAGUUCGGUAAGUUUUCUUUUUGGGUUUCGGAUAAUAUGCCAAUGACUAAUUGACAUGAUUAUUUUCUUUUACCUACACAAUCUGAAUUACUUAGAAACCGAAAUUAGCUGUUAAACAUAACCAAAAUGUUCAAUUGGAGUUCCAUUUGGCAAGUUUACUCACCGGUUAGGAAGAUCAACUAAGUAGAAUCCAUAUACAACUUAAUUUGUUUCCAAGUAUUUCCACCUGACAAUGUAACAUCAGAUUUUAAUUAGAGCUAAAUUGAAUGAUUUUAUGUUGUAAUCAGUGAACCAUUACGCGUUGACCUAAAACCUUUUUUCUCAAGUCAACCUGACCUAAGUUCCAGCGAUAAAGCAAACGAUUCGGUUGAGGUUGGACCCAUUAGCUCGUGCACAAGUUCUGGGAAGAGGAGAGAGUUCAGUUCUUGCGGUUUGGCUCUCAAUUUUUUAAAUGCCGUAGGAGUUUUUUAUGCUUUGGUUUGGGAAUUUGUUAGAGGGAGAAAUCUUGUGUUAGGUUCUGUAUAGUUACCGUAGUGGUACUGAUUUGUAACCCAAAGUUAUAUAAAUAAAUAAAAAGAAGUUAAAAAAAAAAAAAAGUUCCAGCGAAUCAUCGGAUAGAAACAACUCAUAUGUAUUAAGCAUGUUUAUGUACAAGAAUGUAUCUAAGAAGGUAUCUACAUUCUGUAACAAUGAAUAUCAAUAUUUAGGCCUAUUUUCUGUCGACGAAUUUGUUUAAGGCCCAUCAAAUGCGUUGCUAGGAAUACAAUAACGAAUAGUGGAAUACACGACCAAGUUGAGCAAACGCCGAAAAUUAGUCGCUCCCCAUGACACAAGAAUGAUGAUAUUUUCAUAUUAAGCACUCGAAUAUUAGGGUUAAACAUUUAUACAAUGAUUUUAGGAAUUACAAGACAGAACGCUAACCAACUACAUGAAAGUUAUGAUCAAUUUUUUUUUUUUUUGAAACUGAAUUAAACUGUAUUUGUUAGGGAAAAUAAAAUAAAAAGAACAAAACAUUCCACGUUUUUGUCUCUUAAUCUUUGUUUAUGUCACCUGAUAACAACAUCUCCAAAAUAAUAUAUAUCUUACACCUCAUUAGUCCCUUCUUAGCUAUUGUAUUAAUAAUAAACUAGAUAGUAAAACGGAAAUUUUAAAUGAUCGUUGAGAUGUUUUAAGAUCUUUCAGUGAUCGCUUUUUCUAGGCUUUGUUUCAUUUCUGAUACGUGUGGGUCAUUUCUCUACGAAAUCCCAGGACAAUGGUCAAUGUAUCUAGUUUUGAGACAAGUCAUGUUCAUUCAAGAAGUCCCACACAGUUGGAGAUGAAGAAGGGAAAAAUCGAAGAGAAGGCAAAGACCGUACCUUUCUACAAACUGUUUUCUUUCUCAGAUUUUACCGAUGUGUUGUUGAUGAUCGUUGGUUCGAUCGGAGCUAUCGGAAACGGUCUUGGUUUUCCGUUGAUGACAUUGUUGUUUGGUGAUCUUAUUGAUACGAUUGGUCGAAACCUAUUCACAAACGAUAUUGUCGAGUUAAUCUCCAAGGUUAGAUAUACAUGCACCAAGGAAACAAUCUUUCAAGUUUUACUUGGUUAUGUUUACUUUAUUUUGUUUGGUUUUCUUCGUUUUAGAUUUGUUUGAAAUUUGUCUACCUUGGACUUGGGACAUUUGUAGCAGCCUUUCUUCGUAAGUAAUAUACUCUCUGAUUCAAAUUAAAUAUCGUUUAAUACCAUGUAAACAUUUUCAAUGUAAGAUUUGACAUAAAUACAUUAACUUAACCUCAAGUGAGAUAUCAUGCUACUAAAUAAUUAAUUUUUUGUCAGCAAUAUCAUGCUAUUAAUUAACUUGUGUUAAACAUAACAAAACAGAACUACUGUAUACACACAAUUUUUUUUUGUUACUUGUUAAGGAAGAAAGCAAUUUCGUUUUAUGUUUCCCCGUGUUCUAGAGGUGUCUUGUUGGGUGAUUACGGGAGAAAGACAAGCUGCAAGGAUAAGAAGUUUAUAUCUGAAGACAAUACUAAGACAAGACAUUGUAUUCUUCGAUGUGGAAACAAACACAGGAGAAGUUGUUGGUCGUAUGUCAGGUGAUACUGUUCUUAUACUAGAUGCUAUGGGUGAAAAGGUAAACAAAAGAAAAAUACCCACAAAAAUAGAUGUUAUUGUAUACAUAGAUUGAAAUAUAUGAAGUGUGAAAUUUUUUUUCAGGUUGGGAAGUUUAUACAGUUGCUCGCAACAUUCUUGGCUGGAUAUGCUUUAGCGUUUGUGAAAGGAUGGUUACUUACACUUGUUAUGUUAGCCUCAAUUCCUCUCCUAGCUAUGGCUGGUGCAGCUACAUCGAUUAUUUCCACUAAAGCUUCUUCUCAACAACAAGCUGCUUAUGCCAAAGCAUCAACUAUUGUUGAACAAACUUGCGGGUCUAUUCGAACCGUAAAAAAUACUUCCUUUCCCUCCUUUACUUGUUGACUUAUCAUAAAAUAUAUAGAAGUUUGAAACAUAAACCAUGUGAUUGCAUGAUUCCACCAGGUUGCUUCAUUCACGAGAGAGAAGCAGGCGAUUAGUAGCUACAAAGAAUUGAUAAACUUGGCCUAUGAAUCGACUGUCAACCAAGGUUUCUCUACGGGUUUAGGGUUGGGAGUAAUGUUCUUGGUGUUCUUUUGUAGCUAUGCUUUGGCUAUAUGGUUUGGUGGAGAGAUGAUACUCAGAAAAGGGUAUACAGGUGGUGCAGUGAUUAAUGUAAUGGUCAUUGUGGUCACAAGUUCGAUGUGAGUAGAACAUAUCUUCCUUAGUCUCAAAACAGUUAAAACAAUUAGAAUUGUAAUUUUUUUAGGGACAACUUCCCACUUCUGAAUUAAGUAAAUCCCACAUCGGUAGCGAAAAGAGAUUCAAGUAAUGUAUAUAAACGAGAUGAACCAAUUCACUUAUUGCCAAUUGGUUCUGAGUUGGAAGCCAAUCUAACUGUUUUUCUUUCUUUGGAUAGGUCUUUAGGGCAAGCAGCACCAUGUCUAACCUCAUUUGCAGCUGGUCAAGCUGCAGCUUAUAAAAUGUUUGAAACGAUAAAAAGGAAGCCGGUGAUUGAUUGUUUUGACCUAAACGGAAAGGUUUUAGAAGAUAUACAAGGCAAAAUAGAGCUGAGAGAUGUGUGUUUUAGUUACCCUGCAAGGCCUAGAGAAGAGGUCUUUAGAGGAUUCUCUCUGAUGAUCUCAAGUGGCACAACCACUGCUUUGGUAGGAGAAAGCGGGAGCGGUAAAUCUACAGUGAUGAGUUUAAUAGAAAGGUUCUAUGAUCCGAAUUCCGGCCAAGUGCUUAUUGAUGGUGUUGACUUGAAGGAGUUUCAGCUGAAAUGGAUUAGAGGAAAGAUUGGAUUGGUUAGUCAAGAACCGGUUCUGUUUUCUUCAAGUAUAAUGGAGAAUAUUGGGUACGGGAAAGUCGGAGCGACUGUCCAAGAGAUUGAAGCAGCUGCGAAGCUAGCAAACGCGGCUAAGUUUAUCGAUAAGUUGCCUCGGGGUUUAGAGACAAUGGUAGGUGAACAUGGAACUCAGCUCUCAGGAGGACAGAAACAGAGGAUUGCUAUCGCUAGGGCCAUACUUAAAGAUCCUAGGAUUUUGCUGUUAGAUGAAGCGACAAGCGCUCUUGAUGCAGAAUCCGAACGAGUGGUUCAAGAAGCUUUAGAUAGGGUGAUGGUUAACCGGACUACUGUGAUUGUCGCACAUCGGUUAAGCACAGUGAGAAAUGCUGAUGUGAUUGCUGUUCUUCACCGUGGAAAGAUAGUUGAAGAAGGUACAUGCAUGGUACACAUUGUUACUUAAGGACAUAUAUAUAUAAUCUUUUGGAAUAUAUAAUUGUUUAGCUUUUGCUUUACUUUUAUUACAUUUAAGGUUCACAUUUGGAGUUACUCAAGGAUCAUGAAGGGGCUUAUUCACAACUUAUACGGCUACAAGAGAUAAACACAGAAUCAAAACGAUUAGAGAUUUCAAAUGGACAGCAAGACGGAUCUAUCAGGAAUGGAGGAAACAGUGCCAGUGGGAUGCAUGGUGAUGAUGAUGAAUCUGUUUCCGCUCUUGGCUUACUUGCAGGACAAGAAAACACUGAAAUGCCUAAAGAUAUGCCCCAAGAUGUGUCAAUUACUCGAAUUACUGCUCUUAACAAACCGGAGGCUCUGAUUCUUACACUUGGAACCAUAGUAUGUGCACUUGACGGCGCUAUAUUCCCCAUCUUUGGACUCUUCUUUGCUAAAGUUAUCAUGUCUUUCUUCCAACCGCCUCAUGAGCUGAGGAGCAAUUCGAGAUACUGGUCGAUAAUAUUUGUGCUUCUCGGUGUACUCUCUUUGGUAGUGUAUCCAACACAUAUGUCCUUGUUUGCUGUAGCUGGAGGGCGACUGGUUCGUAGGAUAAGAUCAAUGUGUUUUGAGAAAGUUAUUCACAUGGAGAUUGGGUGGUUUGAUGAGCCCGAGAACUCGAGUGGUGCCAUUGGAGCAAGGCUCUCUGCUGAUGCAGCCUUGAUCAGGACACUUGUGGGCGACUCUUUGGCUCUAACUGUCAAGAACGUUGCAACCGCAGUGGUGGGAAUAAUCAUAGCUUUUGUGAUUAGCUGGGAGUUAGCUGUUAUUAUCUUAGUAACGAUUCCUUUAACUGGAAUCAAUCAUUACGUUCAGAUUAAGUUCAUGAAAGGCUUCAGCGCAGACGCAAAGGUUGGUUCUUUUUCAUUAAAUAGGUUUAGGGUUUGUUACUUUUUCAACAAGAAACUGAAAUAAAUUGUUUGUAGACAAAGUACGAGGAGGCGAGUCAAGUGGCGAGUGAUGCGGUUGGGAGUAUAAGAACGGUUGCGUCUUUCUGUGCGGAGGAAAAAGUGAUAGAGAUGUAUAAGAAACGAUGUGAAGAAACAAUCAAAUCGGGGAUGAAGCAAGGACUAGUGGCAGGAUUAGGGUUUGGUCUCUCCUUCUUCGUUCUUUACUCUGUCUACGCUGCUUGUUUCUACGCAGGUGCUAGAUUGGUAAAAGACGGAAGGACAACUUACAACGGUGUUUUUGAGGUUUUGUCUUUGCUCUUUUUCUUCGGAAAUCUAUGUUAUAAAUCUUGAGUAUAGUAGACAUUGGUGUUCGGGUUCGGUCUGGAUUUCAGGUUUUGCGUUCAGCCUCCUAGGCACCAUUUGGAUUUUAUAUAUGUUUAGGUCAGGUUCAGUUAAAAAUACUUUGGUUUCAAAUAUAUUUUAUAUCUAGAUGUUUCACCCGUCCAUACGGGUAUAAGUAUUUUAUAAUUACUUAUUAACACAUACAUUAUUAAUUAAAAAAUUAUAGUGAUAAAUAAUUAUUUAUGUUAUCAUUUGAAUUUUUCUACAUAUUAUAAUUUUUUUUGAAAAUUUCUUUGUACAAUAAUUUAUUAUUAAUAAAUAAAUCUUAGAAAUCAGUCAAUGUUCUCUUUUCAAUUAUAUAAAUUAUGAAUUUUACUUUAUUAAUAUUUUAGUUAUGUGUUUUUUUAUAAAUUUUGCCAUUUUAAAAAGAUAUUUUUGGAUAAGACAAUAUAUAUACAGAACUAUCUUUUUUAAAAAUAUGUUUUUAGAUUUUGGAUAAUUUUUAUUAUUAUUAAUUUUAAUCAAUUAUUUAAUAAAAUAAAUUAUUAUUUUUUGGCUAAUUUAUAUAUUUUAUAUAUUCUUUAAAGGUAUAAACGAAAGUAACAUACGUAACUUUUAACGAAGCUCGAAUGCGAAAAAAAUCACUUUACAAAUAAUAGUAUAGAUAGUUAUAUAGAUAUAUCCAAGACACAUUUUAGAGCAUAAUCUAUUUCUAGUUUGGUUAAUUUUAAUUAUGUUCAGAUAAUUUUAGAUGGCAUAACAAAAUAAACGCAAAAUUGAAUAUCUGAGAUACUUAUUUAGUUCUUGAAUACAAUUUGGAUACUAACUCAAAUUUUUAUGUCAGUUUUCUUGGGUUAUUGGAAUUUUAUAUAUUUUGGGUUCGGUUAAUAAAUAAUAACACUUAGGGCACAUGUAUGUUUUACACAACUCUACAUGAUCAAUUCGAGUUUUUUUACAGUUUGGACAUGUUUUUUUUGUUAAGAGAAGAGGUUAAAUGUUUUUCUAUUGGAUGGGUUUGCGCCAGGUUUUCUUAACAUUGACGGUGACAACAAUUGGGAUUUCUGGGGUGAGUUCUUCCGCUCCUGAUUCAAGCAAAGCUAAGAGUGCUGCUGCUUCGAUCUUCAGAAUCGUCGAUAGGAAAUCGAAGAUAGACACGAGAGAUGAAUCAGGGAUGGUGUUGGAGAACGUAAAGGGAGAUAUCGAGUUUUGUCACAUAAGCUUUGCUUACCAAACUAGACCUGAUAUUCAGAUUUUUCGUGACCUUUGUUUCUUCAUUCGUGCCGGAAAGGUAACAUUUUGUAUACAAAUUAUAAAACUUAUAAAUCUUAAGUGAUAUAUAUAGAGAAAAAGACUAGGAUAGCACUCAAGGCUCAAAGUCACAAAAAUAUGUUUCAUUAAAGAGGUAAAUAUACGCUUAUACCCAUUGGGUUAAUUAAUCCAAACCUUAGGGUUUAGAGUUAAGGGGUAGAGUUUUGGAAUUAGGGUUUAAAAUUUUAUAAAAAAUAAAUACUAAAAUAAAAAAUAAAAAAUUUAAAAAACAGAUUUAAAAAGUAUUUUUAAAUUCUAAAAAGAAAAUUUGAAAAAAAAAUAAAAAAAAAUUUCGAAAAAAAAAAAUUCAAAAAAAAAUAUAAAAAUUUCGAAUCUGAAAACAUAUAAUCUGAAACUAUUUUCAUUUUUUUUAUUUUUAUUUUAUAUAUUUUUAUUUAUUUUUGUUUAUUUAUUUAAUUUUAAACCAAGGGUAUUAGGGAUAUUUUACCCUUUAAUGAAUGUCAUUUUUGUGACUUUCUCCUUCUAGUGCCAUUUUUGAGACAUAAACUUCAAAAGAUGCUAUUAUUGACAAUUGCCCAUAUAUAUAUGUAGAAAAUGGACUAAUCUACCUAUAGUCAAUUUGUUUGAAAUAUAUCUGACUUAAUAUUAAACUGAUGCUUUUUUCAAACUUCACAUGUUUACUUUUCUAAUUCUUGUGCUUAUUUCAGACUGUUGCUUUGGUCGGAGAAAGUGGAUCAGGUAAGUCUACGGUGAUAUCGCUGUUACAGAGGUUUUACGAUCCGGAUUCGGGUCAUAUCACUUUAGACGGAGUUGAUCUCAAGAAGCUGCAACUGAAAUGGCUGAGACAACAAAUGGGUCUUGUAGGGCAAGAGCCUGUACUAUUCAACGACACAAUACGAGCCAACAUUGCUUAUGGAAAGGGAGGAGAAGAAGCAACCGAGGCUGAGAUCGUAGCUGCUUCCGAGCUCUCUAAUGCUCAUAAAUUCAUCUCUAGUAUACAAAAGGUGACUGAAACAAGACCUUUUGAUAUUUAUAUUAUUACUUGUGUUGCAAGUAAAAACUCUUUCAUGUUUGGUUUUAGGGUUACGAUACUGUGGUCGGUGAGAGAGGGAUACAGUUGUCAGGAGGACAGAAGCAACGCGUGGCGAUUGCACGUGCCAUCGUGAAAGAACCGAAGAUCUUAUUACUGGACGAAGCGACGAGCGCGUUGGACGCAGAAUCGGAGCGUGUGGUUCAGGACGCACUUGACCGGGUGAUGGUGAACCGAACCACGAUCGUGGUGGCUCACAGGCUGUCGACGAUCAAGAAUGCUGACAUCAUUGCCGUAGUGGAGAACGGUAUGAUCGUUGAGAAAGGGACGCACGAGACGUUGAUGAAUAUCGAAGGUGGUGUUUAUGCUUCCCUCGUUCAACCUCACAUGAGUGCUUUCUAAUUGAUACAAUCAUACAACACAGUAUUUUUCAUAUAAUAAACAAAAGAUAGAAAUUAAAGACACGAAUGUUUCGAACAAAAUGUUUUUUUUUUCUCCGAACAAAAUGUUUUGUAUGAAGAAUUUUUCAUUGUUUGUUUGGCUGAAGAAAAUAAAGAUUUUUGUAAGGAUUUGAAUCCACAUUCGUGCUUUAGAAUUACAAUGAAUCAAACGUAUCUUUCAUUCGAUACUACAAAAGAGUCUCACGAUAACUACUUAAUAAUCACGAGAGUAUAAUGAGCAAAAUACAACUCUUUAGUAUUUUCCUUGAUCUUUCUCUUUCUCGUUAUUGUCUUUGUAUUCAGAUGAUUAGAAAGCUUUAACCACCUCUUCUACUUAUAGUACUUAGAUUUUCUUAUUCUCAAUUGUGUGAACAAAAUUUUCAACCGACGUUUGAUCAGAAGAGUAAACUAGCUGAUUUGUUUUCUUUUGCUUUGACGCAUGAUUUCCUUAUUAGGCUGGACAUUGUGUAGGAAAUGAUGAGUUACGCGCCCAUAUUCACACAAUUUUUAUAUGGUCAAAUUUAUCCUAGCUAUUCUCAGUGAUAGAUCACAUAAACAAUUUAAAUUAAAAUCACUAGAUAAAAUACCAAAAUAUAGGCAUGAAACCGUACAACGAAUUAUAAUUUUUUUAGUCUCUUAAAAUUUUGUCAAACAUUUGAAGUAUAGGGGGCAUAAAGCAAUAUAGCAACAGGGGCAUAUCUUAAAUUUGUUAUAAAAUUAGACUAAUUUUAAAAUUUCUAUGGUUGGCAACUGCCCCACCCUGCCUAAUACAUAGUCUCAUAUCACACAAUAGACUAUAAAUUUCAGAUUAAACUAGGUGAAUAAUAAGAAAAAAGUAAAUGGUAGUAAAUUAAUAGACAAUUUUCUCAAAUAAGCAUUUUUAAGUUUUUAUCACAAAAAUAGCCCUCAAAAAAGAAAAUGAUCAAAAUAGCAUAUUUUUAUUUUGAAAUUUUUAAUAUUUAUUUUUUAAAAUUUGAAACUCUAUCACCAAAACCAUAUCCCUUAACUAAAUUAAUACAGUUGUAAAUUCUAGAAAAAAAUACGCUAGACCCAUGGUAGUUCAAUCUAUUCAGACAAGCAUUAAAAUCAUGUUUGACAUGUUCACUAAAUCAGUAAACCAAAUUUCUUUGCAUAUAGGUAUUUAACUCAUCAAAAUUAAUAUGCAAUUAAUAAUGCUUUCGCAUCUACUAUUUAUCCUAAGAUCUAGACUUCAAAUUGUCAAUCCAAAUCUAACAUUGAGAACAAUCAAGAUAAAGAAUAAAAGAUAAACCCUAAUACUUCAUUCUAACAAUUCAUUCGAUCCUUUGAAAACCCUAAGUCCAACUGGUGAUUUAUUCAAACAUGAUCAAUAAAACACAAAUCAUAUUCUGAGCACAUUUAUCCAGAACCGAAUAACGGGAAUCGAACCAAACCAAAAAAUUAGGGUUGAUUCGGAUUUAGGUCCUAUCAAUUAUUUGAUUGGGUCAUAUCAGUAAAACUAAAAUACCAAAAUCAAUGAGAAACUGAACCGAAAUCCAAAUGGGUACAUGAAUUUCUAUAAUAUAAUUUAUAUUCUUAUAAAUUUUAACUAUAUUCAGUUUUAAAAUAAAUGAAUAAGUUAAAAAUAUUAUUUAUAAGUCGAAAUACCUAAAAAUGAAUCAUCACAAUACUUUUUAUUCAAAAUUUUCAAAUAUUAUCUGAAUAAUCCAAAUUUUUACCAAAAACUCAAACGAAGUUAUAUUUAAUCAGAAAACCUAAAUUUCUGAUUUUUAAUCCGAAUUAACCGAAAAAUUGGAACCAAAUAGGAUCCGCAAUUACCUCAAAUAUUAGCAGGUUUCCAAUUUUGUUACCCGAACGGUAAUAACCUAAACGGAACCAAAAUUUUAAAAUACCUGGAUAGAUGCUAAACUUCUAGAACUGAAGAAUCAAAGAAUCGAAAAAAACGAACCAAUGCCCAUGGCUAGUUAUUGGUAUCAUGCGCUCACUAUGUGCCUGGAUUUAUAUUUUUUUGCAGCGAAAUAAUAAACGUAAGUAGUUGAUAUAUAUAUAUAUAUAUAUAUUAACCCAAAAAAAAGCAAAAAAAAAACUCAAUAAACCAAAAGCUCAAAAACCCAGCAUGAAUUCUGAAAAUCACUAGAUAUUUUGUUCUUAGAGAAGUUAGCUUAAGUCUUCCUUCUUCUUAAUCUCCUAGAUUCAAUGCUUAUACACACAAAUGGAUCAUCCACGCAUUAGAUCAAUGUCCAUAUGGGCAUGAUGCAUGUCCAUUGACCUUGAACCUGUUGACCACAUCCCUACAGGCGUCUGAACAAGGUUAUGGCUUUGCUGAGGAACAUCAGGCGACGUUGCUGCUGUGUUAUCGUCCAAAGCGUCAGUUUCUUGGACAUCUUCAUCUCGUUUUUUAAUCUUCCCUUUAGGAAUAGCCCAAAUGUAGCUCCCAAUGAUAACCUAUUAAGGAGACAACACACAAGUUUAGAUAAAAAUGAUGUCUAAAUUAAAGAAGUUUGAUGAUGUUUACAAGCAUGCUCACCUGAACUGAGCUUGCUGCUAUUAGAGGCCCUCCAACUCCACCACCAAUGACACGAUAAUCGGGGCAAGCGAGUGAGACCGCUAGAUUCACAGUGCUGUUUGGGUAGUCAUUGUCAGUUGCGUUCGGAUAAGAAGUUGAGAGAGACAAAAGCUCAAAACGACCCUAUGGACCAUAGAGUAAACACAACAACAUGAGUAGUGUUCUUCUCUUGUAAAUCAUUAUAAACUGUAAGGACAGCAAUAUCAAACCUCGUAUUUAAUAGCUCCGUGUGAUAGCGAUCGUUGAAGAAUAGUUGCAGUAGAGACUGCACCAGUAACGGAUAAAACACAAAUGGCUCUUGGACUUUGCUGUGAAAAGGACAUAACCUUUGAUGCAAUGUCCUGACAAACAAGACAAGAGUGUGGAUUAUAAACUAAUCUCAAGAACCCUUAAAAGAGGACACUAGCUAGAGAAGAAGACUAUACUUCACCAACGGAAACUACGAUUACGUGCGGCGUGAAGCUCGUCCCCCACGGCAUCACUCCACCUUAGAAGUCACAACAUCAGGACACAAAGUUAGUAAACAUAGCUUUAAGAGAAAAGCCCUUAGAAUAAAAGAUUAUUCAAAAUAAUAAAACUCUACAUUAAAAAAUUCUAAAGCUUUAUUUAGUAAUAACUUCCCAACAGUUUUUUCCAAACCAAUCUCCUCAUAAACUAUAUAGUAUAUAUAAGUCAAUAUAACCUCAUUCCACCAUUUACAGAGCCUUUCACAUAUAAUUGCAAGAAGAGGGGUUUAUUACCAGUCGAACUAAGCCUUUGCUUCUUGCCGGAACCAGGAGGUCUUCCACGGCCACGUUUGUUAGAGUUUGGGGACAUGGAGGAGGAGAGUGAAGGAGACAAUGCCAAGGAAACAGAACCGUCUUGUCCGUAUUUUCUCGGUCUUCCUCUCUUCCGCUUCACAAACGUCUCACCAGACGGAGGAAGUGCAACCGGCGUUAAAGAAUCAACCUGAGAAGUCUCAACUGGUAAAGGAGGAUACACGAAUCCAGUUGAGCCGAAAGGAGAGCUGGGAUUGGAGAAUUGUUGAAACCCUUGCGAUCCAUAAAACGACGGUUGAGUUUGUGGAGGAGCAGAACCAGGCAUGCCUCUCUGGAUGUAAUAAUAACCCGACCCGGAUAAAGCCAUUGCUUCUCUUUGAUCCAUUGCUUCUGCCAAAAGGAUGCAAAACUCGCUGGGUGACCUGACCUUAUAAAGGUUUCGAAUUUUAUGGGCUAAUUGGCUACAAAAGGGGAAGGGAAAAGAUUUUAUUCUUAUCAAAAGAUAACAACAAAAAGCAGAAUCUAAAGAGGCUUUUAAAGAUAUUAUGACUUGGAGGUUAAGUUAACCAUGCAACUGAAAAAUCUCUCAAGGCUUAUCAACAACACACACGAGCUUCUACUUAACCUAAUAGGUUUAAUAGAAAAGAGAAACAGCUCAACUGAAAUCUACUUUUUAUUCUCUCAACAGAAACAAGAUAUACGAUAUGAAGUUUUCUUCUCCAUCAACAAUGGUGAAGAAAGGGUUUACUUUCUCUCUCUCUCUAGUUCUUCUUUUGCUUUACUGAGUGAUAGAGGAAACAAAAGAAAACAAAAAUACCACUGUAUCAUUCAGGUCCUUCUCCUCUAAAGAGUUAAAAGCAUUUACUGUGGAUACACAUAGUUUUGAUAUCUGACUUUGACCAUAAGCUCUCUCUCUAGACUUCAUCCUAGCAUCUAGUAAUUUAUAGGUGUGUGGCUUAUUCCAACGCUAUUGAUUGAGGCGCGUGCGUCAACCGUCAUGAUAGUUGGGAGAGUGAGAGAAUGUGAUGUAAUCUACUCAAAGACUUUGUUACUCUCUGGAUACACUGUUAUUGAUGAUAAACACUGGCAAAGCUUUCAAAUUUAUCAAAACUCUGUUUCUUUUCUCUCUCAAAGGAUCUAAUGUUUAGAUUCCAGCCAUAUAUACACUUGAGAAUGUAGCUUUACAUUCAGUAAAGAGAAAGAACUAAAACUAGUUUUGUGUAUAAAUUAAGCAAUUAUUGUUCCUAUUGAUACUCUAAUCUGCAAAUGUUUCUCUAUAAACAAGCCAUUGAUAAAAAUUUAGACCUAAUAAUCUAUCAAACUAUACCGAAUCUGAACAAUCAACAUAGGUCCUUCAACCGAAUUUCCAGAUAAGAACAAAAUUGAUUCCAAAAUCUUGAGCUAUAAACAUUAAGAUAGAAGAGCCAAUGCAUUAGCUUUCUAACAUUAAUAUAACAGGGAAUUAAUGAUGUAAUGUGGUUUUUGAGCAAUUAGAAAACUAGUGUGCUUUAUUACUUGUCAAGUGCUCCAUUGUUUGAGCAGCUUGUAGUAGUUGGAGUUUAAUUUUUUUAUUCAGUGUUUUCAUCCCAACUGCAAAAUCCACAUUUCUUUUUCCUCUACCGUCAACCUUGAUGACACAAAAUCAAAUAGACCCUAGAUCAAGAAACAAAUAUCUUCAUAUAGAUAUAGGACUUGUUUGCAUGUUGCAGUGACCUACGACCAGCUACUGCAACGUGCAACAUGCAAUUAAAUGUUGUUUAUUUCGGUGUUGAAAGUACCUUGCAAUCUGCUAGCUGCGAUCAGUUGCAAGUUGUAAAUAUUUUUUAGUCACUAAUUUUUUUUCAGCGACUUAAUAUUGUGACUUCAGAGUGCAAUAUCAAACGAACAACAACAUAUUGUGACUUCUGAGUGCAAUAUCAAACGAACAACAACACGUGGUUUGCAACAUACAAUUGAUCGCGCGAUCAAUCUUGUGACAGCAAAAUGAAUAACAACCUGCUAGAUACACCGACCGCAGGUGACAUACAAACUAAGAGGCCCAUGGUGUACCAAUUCUAGUCAGGUUCAUUCCCUCAAACCGACACCGUUUCUGAUAAACCUUUAUGGACCGAAUAUGCAGCAUGGUCAAGCCCGGCUUGUGAAACCAAGGCCCAAUAGAAGACGAAUACGGCGUCGUGUUGAAACGGAACGUAAACAUCCCCUAUAACUAUAAGCAACCGUUUCCAAAACGACAUCGUCGCGGUUGCUUAGAAGAAGCGAUCUUUCUCUCUGUCCUCUCCUCCUUCCUUCUCCGAGAAGCUCGCAAUCAUCAAACUUCUGGCGAUUCCUUAAUCACGCUUACCUUAGUGACGAUCUGAGAUAUCUAAGUCUACUCGUCAAGCUCCGAAAAUUCGGCAGGUAUUGUAUCUAAAUCUAAUGCUUCAAAAAUUUCCGAGAUUGUAGAUCUGAUUGUACUAGUCGUAGUCGAUUUGAUGCAAUUGCUGAAGGAUUUGAUCUGUAGACUCUUGAGAGCUAAACAAUUUGAUUUGCUUAAUCUACAAUUGAAUCGAAACAGUUUGAGCAACUGUUUAUUGUUUUGGCCAUGAAUAGAGUUUUGUAGAAUCUCAUUGAUUCACAAUGGAGAGUAUAGUACAUGAGAGCACAAACGAAUGUGCGGAUCAAUCGAAAGAGACGCAAACGUUGCUUAUAAGCGGAGUCCCUAACGAUAUCUCGAAUCUCUUCUUAGCUAGAGUUCCAAGAUCACACCACAUGGCGAUGAAAUGCGUUUCCAGGAGAUGGAGAGAUUUCAUCUCCAGCGACGACUUCUGCGAGUAUCGCAACAAGUUUAAUGAUGUUAAGAGUUUUCAAGGCUCCUAAGACAAAUGUUGUAGUAUAAAUGAUUGUCGAACCAGUUCUGAGGGAUAUCAAAGCACUGAGAAUGCAAGUACUCACUUAAUCUAAGUGCAACCAAUGAUUUAGAUGGGUUUUAAAUUACUACUAAACUAGAAAGCAAAUAACAGAAUGAUACUUUCUUGACUAAGGGAAAAGAGAACUCAUGGGCAUAGGGAUUAGACCUUGGGUGAUCAAGUAUCGAACUAAGGAUGGCAAAUGAUCAAUCAAACUAUCAACCUUAAGCCUAGACACAAUUCUAAGCAAGCUCUAUGUCUAGAUGAAUGCUCAUUUGCUAACAUAUCUCAAACAUCAAAUGUCUUUGGUUGAAUAAUAUGAAAGCAAUCAUUACUAACAAGUCUAUUAGCUAUCUUAGCAUCUUUAACAACAAAUGUCUUUGGCAAAGUAUACUAAGAGCCUAGGAGAGUUGUCUCAGGCAUUUCAUCAAACACCUUUUGGGUGGGAAAUGUCUAUUGAUCAACUUUUGAGUGGCCAACUCAGAAGAUGCAUUAUGAAUACUCUACUAGCAAGGAACAAGAAUGAUCUACACUAAAACAUCCUAGAACUAACCUAAUCACCCUUAAUCUCCCUAACCCAUGAAUUCAAAAGGUGAUUACUCACUAAUCUCCAUGAUUCCUCUUAAACCCAUAUUGGAUUUCAGAUUAAUCAUGUAGAGAAACACAGGAAAUAGAUAAGAACACAGAAUUCUCAAUAAUAAACUGAUCAAUUCAUUCAAAAAGAUCCCUUUCCAAAGGUUUUUGGUGGUUUUUCUAAGAACAAAAAUGAUGUGCCUCCUGGUGGCUUACAGAGUAAUAAAACAUAGGUUUAGAAAAUAAAAACGUGCAUAAUGAAAUGACCAAAAUGCCCUUGAGAAAUCACAAGUUCGAGCAGAAACAAAACACGGAGCGACCUCAGCCCGUCGCUCCGACAAGUCGCUCCAGGCUUCGGGAGCGACCUCGCUGUGUCGCUGCGAGAGGUCGCUCCGGGCUCGUUCUCGCGUCUCCGGGUGAUGAAAACGCGAGCGACUUCUCCCUGUCGCUCUGGUAUGGUCGCUCUGAGCUUCGGGAGCGACUUCAGCACGUCGCUCUGGAAGGUCGCUCCGAGGUGUAAAUGUGUGUCUCCAGACGUGAAAACGCGAGCGACCUUGUGCAGUCGCUCUGGAUGAGUCGCUCCGGGAUGUGGUGCACAGCGACCUCAUGCCGUCGCUCCGAGAGGUCGCUCCGGCUGUGCUCGUCCAAAGAUCACUCUUUUCACCUCUUUUGAGCUCCAAAUAACCUUAUGUGGUACUCCAGUACCUAAUAGAGACUCAUGUAUGCAAAAUGCAACCUAAACAUGUCUGAAUCCUAAUCUAUAUGAUGAAAAUGCUCAUGGAUGAAUGGAUAAAACAAUGCAAAUAUGCAAGAUAUCAACUCCCCCAAACUUGUUCUUUUACUUGUCCACAAGUGAACUUUCUAGAACUCAUAGGAAGAGAGGUUGAAGGUGGGAGCACAUAGCCAAAAGAAACACAACUAGCACACUCUCUUAUUACACUCUAGCUUCUCUAGGCCUAUCUUAACUCUUUUUGUUCUUACACUCAUCAUCAAGCAUCCACACAUUCAAAUCAACCAACUCUCACAUUCAUUAAGCACAAAACAUCAGGUGAAUUCUUGCAAAUGGUCAGUUGGUCCAAGUCAUUUGGUUGGGUAAGGGAAGGCUUUUAUUCAAGUGAUUCAAGAGGUUCAAAACAUAUGAUCUUUAAGGUGGUUUACUCUCAAAACAAGUAGCCUUGACAUUGCACAUAAUAUAUCUAAGAAAGGGACCAACUCAUGCAUACAAUGCUCAAUCUCCAUUGUUCUACCCUUUUCCCAAACAUAUCAUUACACAAUCAUUCCCAAAUGUCAAACCCAACUCACAUCUCUCACCAAAAGAUCUUAAGAACUUUAACUCUUUCUUUUUGAAAUCUACAAGGGAUUUUUCUACAACCUCAAAACAUUUCUUAGCUCCUAACAACUUUGCUAGCCCCAUUUUCUUUCUUUUUUUUUUUUUUUUUCGAUUUCUUUUUUUUUUAUAUAUUUUUUUUUUUUUAGGUUGGGGGCCAAGACUUUUCAAAACUAGAGCUAGAGGUUCUCUACUUAUCCCAGAAAAUCAAUUCACUUAAGCACAAAGAGUCUAUCCUUUUUAUUUUUCAUUUCUCCCAAAUCAUGAUCACAACACUCACCCUCCCACCUAUAGCUAGACAAAAGAGUGUCCAAUCUAGCAAAAAUGAAGAUCAAGCAUUGUCGUUCCCGAUACUCUCAACAUUAUGCGCAUGUAAGACUUUCCGAAGAAGGCCUCACUCAUCAAACAAUGAAAGCUUAAAAGGAAGGAAAGGUUUUGGGAGUGGUCUACCACUAGAGUUUGUCAAAAAGAUUGGCAUAAAAGAUGUGACAACUCCAGUGUGUAUAGCCAUGACUCAGUACACAAGGGACCCUAAGCAAGAAGCAUUAAGUUCAUUCAUUUCUAAUAAGGUUGUAGUUGGCUUCAAAGACUGAGUUUCAGCAAUCAACAAGUUUCAGGAAGAGUUUUCAAGGCUCGAAACAUACAAGUCUUUUUGAGAGGUGCAAAAGCUAGUCAAGUGCAACGUAGUGUUCUUUACAAGGCAUUCAAAUCAUUGCUCCCAAUGCAAGUGAAUGCAACCUAUAUGCUCUAGACUCUCCUAAAAAUGCAAAUGAUGCAAACUAAAUGAUUGAUUUUUUUUUUUUUAUCUAUGCAAAUAGGUAUGCCAUGCAUGACUCAAUGAAACAACAUCAAAGCAAACAUGAUCAAAUACUUGGUACCUCCCCCAAACUUGAGUGACACAGUCUCUGUGUCGUCAAGUAGAGAGAGAGAUACCGAAAAGAAGACUAAUAUGCAAAAAUGAAAUGGUAUAUACAAGGGAGUGUGGUGGGUUACCUUCUAUAGGGAAUGAGUAGAGGGAGAUGCUCCCUCCUCGUCGUCCUCAGGUGGUAACUCUUCAAGGUGCUCAUCAGCAGGGGUGUCCAUCUCUUCAAUGUAGAAGGCUUGCCCGAACACAGUUGGUUUCCUCAUUUUCCUCUUGAUGUCAAAGUGGAGGAUGUUCUCUUUACCCAAAUGGAGAUCAAUCGUGCCUUCCUUCACAUUAACAAUAGCUCCUGCUGUAGCUAAGAAUGGCCUUCCUAGAAUCAAUGGAUCUUGAGCCUCCUCACCCAUCUCAAGCACCACAAAAUCUGUAGGUAUCUCAUACCUUCCAAUCUUCACAGGAAGGUCCUCUAAGAUGCCCACAGGGUACUUCACUGAACGAUCAGCUAACACCAGAGAGAGUCUACACUUCUUGUACUGAGUGAAUCCAAGCUUCUUUGCAACAGACAAAGGCAUCAAGCUGACACUAGCUCCCAAAUCGCAGAGACUUUUCUCAAAUACCAUAGGUCCAAGAGCACAAGGUAGUGUGAAGCUUCCUGGAUCCUCUAAUUUCUCUGGAACAUCAAGCCUCUGGAUGAUGGCAUUGCACUCAUGGGUAAGAUUCAUCAUGCUUUCCAUCUCCUUCUUCUUUGCAGCUACAACAUCUUUCAGGAAAUUGUUGUAUUGAGGAAUCAACAUGAAAGCAUCGAUGAUGGGCAUUGCAACCUGAGCUUCACUCAUUUGCUUCUCAAACAGAGCUUUGUAUUUCUCUAGCAGCUGCUUCUUGAAUCUACCAGGGAAUGGAAGUUUGGGUUCAUAGGGAGGAGGAACAAAAGAACUUUCACUUGCUGGAGUAACAACUUCACCAUCCUUUACUGUCUUCUUCUCCUCUCCAACCUUUCCUUUACCUUUGGCUUCCACUAUCUUCUCCAAGAUCUCGUCAUUGAUCUUCUCAUCAACAAUCACCACUUCAUCAUCUAUGUUGAUGGCAACCCCCUCACCUAAUUUCUCAGCAUCCUUGGUGAGGGUUCUAGGAGGUAACUGCUUACCGCUCCUAAGGGUGAUAGCUUUGGCCUCCUUGGGAUUUUGGUCAGACUUUCCAGGUAGAGAUCCUUGCUGGCGAUUCUGGUGAGUGUUCAUGGAAGCAAAUUGAUUCUCUAAAUUCCUGACUGUAGAAGCAAGGUGUGAGAAUUUGUUGUUGAGCUCAUUGUAGCUCCCAUCAAUCUUGGAAUGAAGGUUCUUCAACUCAUAACCAACUUGCUUCUCACUUCUAGUCUGAGACUCCAAGAUUUGCUUCAGUAAGGUAUCAGUGCUGCUCUCUUGAGGAGCAGAGGAACCAGACGAGGGGUUUUGCUGAGGCUGAUAGCUGCCUUGUUGGUUGUUUCUUGGCGGAUAGCCACUCUGCUGGUUGUUGGAAUAGGACUUCUGUUGGUAGUUAUUGUACUGAAAGUUGGGUUCUUUCUUGUACCAGCUACCAUUGUUGUUGAUGAAACACAGCUCUUCCUGACCUUCCAAACCCUCAACUUCAUGGACAAUAGCUGGUGUCUCUUGGCUUGGGUUGCCGACAAAGUGCAGCUGCUCUUGGGUAGCUUUAUCAGCAAGGAGGAUGUCUAUCUUAUCCUGUAGAGCUUUCAACUCCUUCCUCGUUUGCUUAUCCUCAGUUCUACUGCUUCUGUCGUGGUCUCCACUGUAGACUGCAUCACUCUUUACCAUGUUGUCAACCAGUUCUUCUGCAUCCUCCUCAGUUCUCCCCAAGAAGAACCCAUUGCUAGCUGUAUCCAGUCUGGCUCUGUACUUAGGAAGAGCACCACGGUAGAAUGUGCUUAGCAAGCUCUCCUUAGAAAAGCCAUGGUGUGGGCAUUGAGCUUGGUAGCCCUUGAAUCUCUCCCAGGCUUCACUGAAGCCUUCCAAGUUCUUCUGUUGAAAGCUGGAAAUCUCGUUUCUCAGCUUAGCAGUUCUUGAAGUAGAGAAGAACUUCUCCAAGAAUGCUUUCUUGCAGUCAUCCCAAGUAGUGAUGGAGUCACUGGGUAGAGACUUCUCCCACUGACGUGCCUUAUCCCCCAAAGAGAAAGGGAAUAGCUUGAGCUUUAAGGCAUCUUCGGACACACCAUUGGUUUUUGACAACCCACAGUAGCUGUCGAACCUGUCCAAGUGAUCAAAUGGAUCCUCUAGAGCCAACCAUGAUACUUGUUGUUCUCGAUCACGUUGAGGAGUCCUGAUUUGAUCUCAAAGUUGUUGGCUGCCACAGCGGGUGCUCGGAUUCCCAAUCUAUGACCAUGAAUGUUGGGGCGGUCGUAAGUGCCAAUGGGUCGAGCUGCUCGCUGUUGGUUUUGAGGUAUGUCUCCCAUAUCAGUACUCAAUCUCUGCAAGUGAGCCUGUUGCUCUUCUUCUCUUCUAUUUCUAGCACACUCUCUCUCUAAAGCUCUGAUGUCUGCAGCUAUUGGAACUAGGUUUGAUGGACCCCUGCUCCUCAAGUUCAUACACCUGUAGAUUAAAGGGAGGUGAAGAAAGAGAAUCAGUAACAAAAGAAAAUAAAAAUGACUUAGUCUCAAGCAAGUGACUAAAUCUCAAUGUUCAAAUCUACUCAGAAUUUGGCAACGGCGCCAAUUUGAUGUUAAGAGUUUUCAAGGCUCCUAAGACAAAUGUUGUAGUAUAAAUGAUUGUCGAACCAGUUCUGAGGGAUAUCAAAGCACUGAGAAUGCAAGUACUCACUUAAUCUAAGUGCAACCAAUGAUUUAGAUGGGUUUUAAAUUACUACUAAACUAGAAAGCAAAUAACAGAAUGAUACUUUCUUGACUAAGGGAAAAGAGAACUCAUGGGCAUAGGGAUUAGACCUUGGGUGAUCAAGUAUCGAACUAAGGAUGGCAAAUGAUCAAUCAAACUAUCAACCUUAAGCCUAGACACAAUUCUAAGCAAGCUCUAUGUCUAGAUGAAUGCUCAUUUGCUAACAUAUCUCAAACAUCAAAUGUCUUUGGUUGAAUAAUAUGAAAGCAAUCAUUACUAACAAGUCUAUUAGCUAUCUUAGCAUCUUUAACAACAAAUGUUUUUGGCAAAGUAUACUAAGAGCCUAGGAGAGUUGUCUCAGGCAUUUCAUCAAACACCUUUUGGGUGGGAAAUGUCUAUUGAUCAACUUUUGAGUGGCCAACUCAGAAGAUGCAUUAUGAAUACUCUACUAGCAAGGAACAAGAAUGAUCUACACUAAAACAUCCUAGAACUAACCUAAUCACCCUUAAUCUCCCUAACCCAUGAAUUCAAAAGGUGAUUACUCACUAAUCUCCAUGAUUCCUCUUAAACCCAUAUUGGAUUUCAGAUUAAUCAUGUAGAGAAACACAGGAAAUAGAUAAGAACACAGAAUUCUCAAUAAUAAACUGAUCAAUUCAUUCAAAAAGAUCCCUUUCCAAAGGUUUUUGGUGGUUUUUCUAAGAACAAAAAUGAUGUGCCUCCUGGUGGCUUACAGAGUAAUAAAACAUAGGUUUAGAAAAUAAAAACGUGCAUAAUGAAAUGACCAAAAUGCCCUUGAGAAAUCACAAGUUCGAGCAGAAACAAAACACGGAGCGACCUCAGCCCGUCGCUCCGACAAGUCGCUCCAGGCUUCGGGAGCGACCUCGCUGUGUCGCUGCGAGAGGUCGCUCCGGGCUCGUUCUCGCGUCUCCGGGUGAUGAAAACGCGAGCGACUUCUCCCUGUCGCUCUGGUAUGGUCGCUCUGAGCUUCGGGAGCGACUUCAGCACGUCGCUCUGGAAGGUCGCUCCGAGGUGUAAAUGUGUGUCUCCAGACGUGAAAACGCGAGCGACCUUGUGCAGUCGCUCUGGAUGAGUCGCUCCGGGAUGUGGUGCACAGCGACCUCAUGCCGUCGCUCCGAGAGGUCGCUCCGGCUGUGCUCGUCCAAAGAUCACUCUUUUCACCUCUUUUGAGCUCCAAAUAACCUUAUGUGGUACUCCAGUACCUAAUAGAGACUCAUGUAUGCAAAAUGCAACCUAAACAUGUCUGAAUCCUAAUCUAUAUGAUGAAAAUGCUCAUGGAUGAAUGGAUAAAACAAUGCAAAUAUGCAAGAUAUCAUUUAACUUAGCCGAGUCUUGGAUCUACGCCUUGUGCCGCCACAACACGUGUGGCCGUGUCUUCUUACACGUGCUGAAUCCUUCUAGAAGAGGAUGGAGAAGAGUCCAUGAGAUUCCUCUGCAUAUCACUUUUAGAGACGGUAUGGGUUUUGCAGUGUUGGGUAAGAGACUGUUUGUGUUGGGUGGAUGUGGUUGGGUAGAGGAUGCUAGUGAUGAUGUUUAUUGCUAUGAUGCUGCUAUUAACACUUGGCUUCACUUGCAACCUUCUCUUUCAACUAAAAGGUUAGGGGUCUUGAUACUUGCCAUUUUAGCAAAUAGUUUGGUGUUUGAUCUUCUGAUUGCGUUUUGCAGAUGCUUCUUUGCUUGUGAGACGUUGGAUGGGAAGAUUAUGGCGAUUGGUGGGUUAGGAGUGAAUUCGAAAGCUCCACAGACUUGGGACAUCUACGAUCCUGUAACGAAAGCUUGUGUAUCCUUCUCAGACGCGAAUAUUAUCCGUGAUAUUGAAGAUUCAUUUGUAAUGGAUGGGAAGGUUUAUGUUCGCGGUGGUGUUGGAGCUGUAGUAUAUGAUGGACUGAGCGGAGUUUGGAAGCGCGUGGAGGAUGAUAUGGCAUCAGGGUGGCUAGGUCCAGCAGUUGUUGUAGGAGAUGAUCUCUAUGUUUUGGAUCAGAGUUUUGGAGCUGCGCUGACAAUGUGGUGCAAGGAAACGAGAGUGUGGAUUCGUAUCGGGAAGCUAUCUCAGUUGGUGAUGACGCAGCAAUGUCGGCUUGUUGCUAUUGGAAGUAAUAUAUUUGUGAUUGGUAAGGAUUGCUCUACUGUGGUGAUUGAUGUUGAGAAUGUGAGGAAGAAGACGAUGAAUGGAGUAAUGGUGUGUUCUUCUAUACCCAAGACUUGGGAUGAUACCAUUGAUGUUAUUUGCUGUAAAUCUAUAGCUAUAUAAUGUUUGAUGAUCGUUGCAAACUGUUCAUGUUGCUCAUGUAAAAUCACAAGCCUGUGUGAAAUCAGGUGAUACUAAUCACAAAACCAAAUCUCAAAAGCCUUGUUCUUGAUUGAUCAAUGUAGCAGCCAGCUCCUUCAUCCACUAAGUUUGAUCUUUUAACAAAGUCUAUUGAAAAUACUGUUGUUGUCAAUGUUCGAAAACUGAACUACUAAUCUCUCAAUGUGGUUGGUUUGCAGACAAGAACCCACUACUCUAAAGUUACCUUCUAAAUUAGUUGUGUUCCAGGAGGCGGUAAAAAGCUUACUCAUGAGUUCCUUUAGUUUCUCCAAAUCGCCUUUGCUUGAUAAGGAGGUCUCUCUAACAUUCUAAAUACUGGUUUGACCACGCACCUUCCUCUCUCCACUGUCUGCCUCGAGCACUCAAAUGCAUCAUCAGCCUUUCUUCUUGCACACAGUACAGUGGUAAGGAUGUACAUGUACAUGAGUCAAUGAGGUGGCAAGUACCACCAUAAAAUUUUCAAUUUUUUAAAAUAAUAUAUACAAACUUUAGUUAUUUCCUUUCCUUUUACUAAAUAUCAGAUUCUAACUAUAAAUUUUAUGUUUAUACUCAGUGGCGGAGCCACAUGUAAUGAGAUGGGGCCACUGAACCCAACAACAUUUGAAAAUUUAGUGUAAUUUAUUAAAGCCUAAGCUAUAUGCACCUAUUCUAAAUAUUGUAGUUUAGUAUUCAUGCCCCCAACAAAAUUAUUUCUUGCCUCCCCAACAAAAUUAUUUCUUGCCUCCGCCACUCUUUAUACUAGAUUAUGACCCUUCCUUUCAAAAGACAGAUAUAUUUUUUAUUUUAAUUAUUUUUUUAAAUUUAAUUUCCAUAUUUGUUUUUUUUCUUUGUAACCAUAUAUGUGUAUAAAUCUUAAUCAAAAUCUAUUUUACAAAAUAAUAGCAAUUUAAAAGUUGAUUCGGUAUAUGUUUGGUUUUUUGUAAUCAUAUGUCCAUAUACCCGUUUCUUUGUAAUCAUAUUUACAUGUUCUAGGUCUUGAUCUGCCGGUAUAAUAUUGGUUUGUAAUUUUUUGUUUUUUAUGUUUCUAUAAACAUGUAACAUUUUUAUGUAAUUUUUUCUUAAAUGUUAAAGAAAUUUAAUUUAUAUACAGUUAUAUAAGGUAUGGUUAUCCUAACGUAAAUGUUAGGGUAUAUUUAUAAAAAAAAACGUAGUGUUAUAUAACAUAUAUUAAGAUAGGGUUGUUUUUUUAACUUGUUGAUAGCCACCUUAACGUAAUGAUUAUUGUUUAAAUAAAAUUAGAUAUAUUUAUAAAUAAGAGAAUAAUUAUAUAUAAUAUUUAUCGAUAGAUCAUGAUCUUAUUUUAAUAGAACAUAUAUGAUUUCCCCCUUUCCCCACCCGCCACCCUCCAAUUACAAAUUAAUUCUACAUUCAUCACUGAGGGCAAUACCCUUUAUCCAACAUAUACUCCCACAAGUCUAGUCCUAGUCUCGUAGAUUAACUUCACCGUUCUGACAGAACAGCUUCAUCAGCAUCGCCACGGUUCGUGUAUUUCGGAACCAAAGACAUUCCCUUCAUUUCGUGGUAUAGCUCACAUAUGACAUACCCCGUCAAUUCCUUUCUCUUUUUUUUUUUAAAGAAAUAAAAAUUCCUUUCUCGUGCUGGACUUUAUUUAUGAUAUGACUUUUACGUAAACUACAACCGGCAGAAAAUGCAAACAAGACAACGAUGCUUAUCUUUAUUUAGACCAUUCACCAUGUACUCAUUUAAUUAAAGUUUUUUUUUUGGGGCUAAAAAUGGAGUACACCGGUCCAUAUUUAACGUUGAACGAAACAAUUGUAUUCACUAUACUUUUUUUUUUCUUUUUCUUUUGGGUAAAAUGUUAAAUUAUUCACUAUACUAUUACCUUAUAUUAAAAUAAAAAGUAUAAAACUAACUGUUGGAUCAUACUUGAAUACAUAACAGUUGGAAUAACAACUCAUUUAAUUAAAGUUUGUUUGCUUAAAUGCAUGGAAUAUAUUUAUAUAGUUUUAUUUUGUUGUUCUAUGCCGUGGCUGAGGGAGAGUAUUAUGAAAUUCAGAGUCGUCUUAUUUGACUUAUCUUUCGAUAAGUGUAAGCUUAUAAUUUCAUUGGAAAAUUGUGAAAUACUCAAGUUGAGAUACCCUUAAUAGUGAUGGUCUUUAGAGCAAAAAUUUCAAGUCAAAAAUUGAAAUAAAACCGAAGCGACUAACUUUACAUUCAAAAGAUGCGGGACGAAAAUUACCAUCACAAAGCUAAAAUCACAAAGUUCGUGGAUUAUAAAUUAGAUCUCAUAAAUCUAUAACGCCUCUUCUCAAUAUAAGAUUUGUGUGAACACAGUAAAGUCCCUAUGAUUUGAUAUUAUGAAAUAACUACUUUUAAGAAUUUUCUCCAACCUCUCUCUGAAAAGCUUCGACAUCUUCUUCCGUUCAAAUAUCUCCAUUUAUGUUUUCAUAUUAUCUCCGUCUUGUGGGCUCAUGAUUCCGGGGAUGUUUGUCUACUUCGCCGGCAUGUUAUUCCAAAAUUACUUGUAAUUGUCGGCCUAGUUUGUAACAAUGGUGUUGAAGUUAAUAUAAUGAUCUUUAGUGUGUAAUGAAAAGGAAAAACUACUUUUAACUUCUAAGUGUAUAUAUCUGUUUAAAAAUCUGUGUUUGACCACAAUUUUAAAAAGUCCAAGGAAACAAUUAUUUAAUUUCAUUUGAAAAGGAUAACUUCAGUUAUUACACUCUACUACACAUAAAU
Molecule: long non-coding RNA, 54658 nt
Filed under: Brassica rapa (field mustard)
Lineage: Eukaryota; Viridiplantae; Streptophyta; Magnoliopsida; Brassicales; Brassicaceae
Description: long non-coding RNA (BRAP_LNC005374)
Rfam family: Plant small nucleolar RNA R71 (bases 48755-48861)
Source: RNAcentral